UUUAGAUUCAGUUCAGCGUGCUUGUACUCAUCUAGCGAAGGGACUCGUUUUUAUCACUAGCGCGUCUCAGCCUCGGUGGUUAGUGUGUUGCGUUUCCACCCAGGAGACCAGGGAUCAAAUCCCCAUGCAUGUUAUAUUUUUAGGAUUUGUGCCUCUCCAUGCGCUCAGCUUCUGCCUUAUUUAUUUUUAUGCUGUUUUGUCAAUUUUGACACAACCACUUAUUUAGUCUGGGGGUAGGGCUACUAAUGUCCAUGCAAGGGAUCUGGGGUUCAAAUCCUAGCAAUUCCAUUUUUUUAUAUUUUGGACAGACUCAAAUGCCCGUUUGUAAAAUUCAUAUAAAUUUAGCCGUGGACCGGAUUAAAAUGUUUUCCACACGUAAGUUGCUUAGAAUUUUCUGUAGUUUCUCAAAAACCAACUCUCAUGCAUAAUUAGAUAUGUUUAGUGUGUUGUUUGCAUCGGUUUGCAUCUCGACGUGUUGAAAACGGUUUAGGUCGUAACUAUUUGUCCGUAGCUCCGUUGGAGAUGUGCCAUAUAUGUAAAUGGACCAGAACGACGAGUAGAAUCACGUGUUCCACUUUGUUUCUCCGUUUAACAAAUAUAAAAUGUGUUUAGGAAAAAUCUGGGCAGAAUUAAGAUUUAACACGUGGGGUCAUUUCGGAGAUGCUAUAUGUCGUUUCCGGUCUCAUUUAAAAUGACUAGCUAGGUAGAUUAAUUUGUGCUUCACCCUCGUGCCAGGUUUAACAACAUUUAAUAUAUCCGUAUACCUGAACGGGAGUGAACUAAAUAAUUCAACGUGGAGUUUCGUCGAUAUGCAACUCGUUGCAUAUCGAGCUUCACUUAAUGUGUAGUGUUUGAUUGUUGUGAUUGUCACGCAUUGCAUUAGACCGUUCAUGCAUCAUGUGUGUCUUGCAUCGUGUGGUGUAUAUCGUGUGUUGAUGCUUGUUUCCGGUUUCCUCCGUCUCGAUAGAGUUCCGCAAGCGUGUCGGAUGUGAGGGCCGUUCGACUACGUCGGUUCGUCUGCUUCGCGGAGUCAUUCUUCUUUCAAGCGGGAUCUCAGGCAAGAUGAUCAUUUCCCUAGAUACCACUACUAUCAUUGACAUGCUAGUUUUAUCGCUUCUAUCGUUUAUGUCUCGUUGCCUACCACCUGUUAAAUAUCAGCCUCUCAACAAUGCCAUGAUUACCUUCAACCUGUUCAACCUAGCAAACCACUGAUUGGCUAUGUUACUGCUUGCUUAACCCUGUUGAUAGCGUUGCUAGUUGCAGAUGCAGAUGCUUCCAUGUGAAAACAUGGGUUCCUUGUUAUAUCACCAUAUUAAAUGCUAUUUAAUUUAAUGCACCUAUAUACUUGGUAAAAGGUGGAAGGCUCGGCCUUUCUAGCCUGGUGUUUUGUUCCACCUUUGCCCCCUUAGAUUCGGCUACCGGUGUUAUGUUCCAUAAAGGAGCGCUCCUAACACGAUCGGGGUUGUUAUGGGGACCCCCUUGAUAAUUCGUUUUAGAUUAAAGCUGGUCUGGCAAGGCCCAACUUUGGUACUACAUUUGCCUAAACACCUAAUAAAAUUGCAUAGGGACUUUCCGGACCCCGAGGAUAAUUUAAUCAACCCCCGGGCCAGUGCUCCUCAUGAGUGUUGGUCCCACCUGAGCGAUGUCCGGCGCCCCUCUGGUCACCCGGAGGUUUAGCGAUCCCGACGUCUAGCUCAUCCGCCGUGUCCUGAGAACGAGGUACGCGACUCCUAUCGAGAUCGUCGACACGUCGGGCGGCCUUGCUGGAUUAGUUUUACCUUUGACGAGAUAUCUUGUGCAUCGGGAUUCCGGUGAUGCUUUGGGUAAUCUCAGAGUUGAGGUUUUCCACUAGGGAAUCCGACGAGAUCGCGAGCUUCGUGAUUGAGGAUUUCUAUGCAGCUUGUGGUAAUUUGUGAUNNNNNNNNNNNNNNNNNNNNNNNNNNNNNNNNNNNNNNNNNNNNNNNNNNNNNNNNNNNNNNNNNNNNNNNNNNNNNNNNNNNNNNNNNNNNNNNNNNNNNNNNNNNNNNNNNNNNNNNNNNNNNNNNNNNNNNNNNNNNNNNNNNNNNNNNNNNNNNNNNNNNNNNNNNNNNNNNNNNNNNNNNNNNNNNNNNNNNNNNNNNNNNNNNNNNNNNNNNNNNNNNNNNNNNNNNNNNNNNNNNNNNNNNNNNNNNNNNNNNNNNNNNNNNNUGGAAGCUUUGUUUAACACUGGUUCUAGAUAACUUGAAGUUAACUUAAUUAAAACAUGCCAACUGUGUGCGUAACCGUGACUGUCUCCUUCGUGAGUUCCUUCUCCGAUCGAGGACACGGUGGGGUUAUGUCUGACGUAGGUAGGUGUUCAGGAUCAUUCUUUUGAUCAUCUGUAGUGACGUCCGUUAUGCGUAGAUCUCCCCCCUCUUAUUUCUUGUACUCGUAAGUUAGCCACCAAAUAUAUGCUUAGUCGCUGCUGCAACCUCACCACUUAACCAUACCUCACCCAUUAAGCUUUGCUAGUCUUGAUACCUUUGGAAAUGAGAUUGCUGAGUCCCCUGUGGCUCACAGAUUACUACAACACCAGUUGCAGGUACAGGUAAAGGUUACUUGACGCGAGCGCGUUGAUUGUUCAUUUGGGGUUGCUUCUUCUUCUUCUUCUUCAUCGAUCUAGGAUGGGUUCCAGGCCGGCAGCCCGGGAUAGCAAGGAUGGACGUCGUUCUUCUUUUGUCGUUUGUUUUCGUCCGUAGUCGGACCCUGCUCUUACUCUUGUUGUUUAUGUAAUGUACUGAUGUGACUCUGAUGUAGCUUGUGGCGAGUGUAAGCCAACCCUUUAUAUAUCUCUCCUUUUCAGUAUAUGUACUUGUAACGAUAUCCAUUCUUGCGACACGACGAGAUGCGCUUCUAUCCCUGACGAGGCCUUCGUGCCAAAUUGAGGAUAGGGUCGCAUCUUGGGCGUGACACGUCACCUCGCCUUUAGCUAGUCUCCGUUUAUGUCGUAGCUUUCAUUUCGUGUUAAUAAUCACUUAGCAACCGAACCGGUAUCCAAUACCCUCGUGCUACUAGGAGUACUAGUAAAGUACACAUCAACAUCAUGUAUAUCAAAUAUACUUCUUUCGACUUUUGCCAGCCUUCUUAUCUACCAAGUAUCUAGAGUUGCUCCGCCUCAGUGACCGUUCCCCUCAUAACAGAAGCACUUAGUCCCGGGCUUGGGUUUAAUCUGGGGUCUCUUCAUUAGUACAGCAACUGCUUUGCCGUUUCACGAAGUAUCCCUUCUAGCCCUUGCCUUUAUCGAAACUUAGUGGUUUUACUAACCAUCAACUAUUGAUGCUCCUUCUUGAUUUCUACUUUCGCAGUGUCAAACAUCGCGAAUCGCUCAAGGAUCAUUGUAUCUAUCCUUGAUAUGUUAUAGUUCAUCACGAAGCUCUCGCAGCUUGGUGGCAGUGACUUUGGAGAACCAUCACUAUCUUAUCUGGAAGAUCAACUCCCACUCGAUUCAAGCGAUUGUCGUACUCACAUAAUCUGAGCACACGCUCAAUGAUUGAGCUUUUCUCCUCUACUUCGUGGACAAAGAAUCUUGUCGGAGGUCUCAUACCUUUUAAUAAGGGCACAAGCAUGAAAUCACAUUUUCAUCUCUUUAGAACAUCUCUUAAGUUCCGUGACGCUUCAAAAUGUCUUCGGCGCCUUGCUUCUAAGCCAUUAAGUAUUUUGUACUGAACUAUCGUGUAGUCAUCAGAAAUGUGUAUGUCAGAUGUUCACAACAUCUACAGACGUCGAUCGAGGUGCAGCACACCGAGUGGUGCAUUAAGGACAUAAGCCUUCUGCGCAACAACGAGGACAAUCCUCGGCUUUACACACUCAGUCUGUAAAGUUUGCUACUAUCAACUUUCAACUAAAUUUUCUCUAGGAACAUAUAAAAACAGUAGAGCUAUAGCGCAAGCUACAUCGUAAUUCGCAAAGACCAUUGGACUAUAUUCAUGACAAUUAGUUCAAUUUAAUCAUAUUACUUAAGAACUCCCACUCAAAAAGUACAUCUCUCUAGUCAUUUGAGUGGUACAUGAUCCAAAUCCACUAUCUCAAGUCCGAUCAUCACGUGAGUCGAGAAUAGUUUCAGUGGUAAGCAUCUCUAUGCUAAUCAUAUCAACUAUACGAUUCAUGCUCGACCUUUCGGUCUCAUGUGUUCCGAGGCCAUGUCUGCACAUGCUAGGCUCGUCAAGCUUAAUCCGAGUGUUCCGCGUGUGCAACUGUUUUGCACCCGUUGUAUGUGAACGUUGAGUCUAUCACACCCGAUCAUCAUGUGGUGUCUUGAAAUGAAGAACUGUCGCAACGGUGCACAGUCGGGGAGAACACAAUUUCGUCUUGAAAUUUUAGUGAGAGAUCACCUCAUAAUGCUACCGUCGUUCUAAGCAAGAUAAGGUGCAUAAAGGAUUAACAUCACAUGCAAUUCAUAAGUGACAUGAUAUGGCCAUCAUCAUGUGCUUCUUGAUCUCCAUCACCAAAGCACCGGCACGAUCUUCUUGUCACCGGCGUCACACCAUGAUCUCCAUCAACGUGUCACCAUCGGGGUUGUCGUGCUACUCAUGCUAUUACAACUAAAGCUACGUCCUAGCAAUAUAGUAAACGCAUCUGCAAGCACAAACGUUAGUUUAAAGACAACCCUAUGGCUCCUGCCGGUUGCCGUACCAUCGACGUGCAAGUCGAUAUUAACUAUUACAACAUGAUCAUCUCAUACAUCCAAUAUAUCACAUCACAUCGUUGGCCAUAUCACAUCACAAGCAUACCCUGCAAAAACAAGUUAGACAUCCUCUAAUUGUUGUUGCAUGUUUUACGUGGUGACCAUGGGUAUCUAGUAGGAUCGCAUCUUACUUACGCAAACACCACAACGGAGAUAUAUGAAUUGCUAUUUAACCUCAUCCAAGGACCUCCUCGGUCAAAUCCGAUUCAACUAAAGUUGGAGAAACCGACACUCGCCGGUCAUCUUUGAGCAACGGAGUUACUCGUAGCGAUGAAACCAGUCUCUCGUAAGCGUAGGAGUAAUGUCGGUCCGAGCCGCUUCGAUCCAACAAUACCACGGAAUCAAGAAAAGACUAAGGAGGGCAGCAAAACGCACAUCACCGCCCACAAAAACUUUUGUGUUCUACUCGAGAAGACAUCUACGCAUGAACCUAGCUCAUGAUGCCACUGAUGGGGAACGUCGCAUGGGAAACAAAAUUUUUCCUACGCGCACGAAGACCUAUCAUGGUGAUGUCCAUCUACGAGAGGGGAUUUCCGAUCUACAUACCCUUGUAGAUCGCACAGCAGAAGCGUUAGUGAACGCGGUUGAUGUAGUGGAACGUCCUCACGUCCCUCGAUCCGCCCCGCGAACCGUCCCACGAUCCGUCCCACGAUCUAGUGCCGAACGGACGGCACCUCCGCGUUCAGCACACGUACAGCUCGACGAUGAUCUCGGCCUUCUUGAUCCAGCAAGAGAGACGGAGAGGUAGAUGAGUUCUCCGACAGCGUGACGGCGCUUCGGAGGUUGGUGGUGAUCUAAUCUCAGCAGGGCUCCGCCCGAGCUCCGCAAAAAUGCGAUCUAGAGGUAAAACCGUGGAGGUAUGUGGUCGGGCUGCCUUGAAAAAGUUGUCUCAAAUCAGCCCUAAUAGCUCCAUAUAUAUAGGAGGAGGGGAGGGGAGGCUUGCCUUGAGGCUCAAGGAGCCCCAAGGGCUGCUCCACCAAGGUGAGGAGGAGUCCUCCUCCAAUCCUAGUCCAACUAGGAUUGGAAGGUGGACUCCUUCUCUUCUUUCCCACAUUUCCUUUUUUUUUCUCUUCUUUUGGUUUUUCUUUCUCUCUUGCGCAAGACAGCCUUGGGCUGACCCCACCUACUUGGUGCGCCACCCCCAAGGUCCUUGGGCCCUCCCGGGUGGGUGGUCCCCCCUCCCGAUGAAGAUCCGGAACCCAUACGUCAUUCCCGAUACAUUACCGGUAAUGCCCGAAAACCUUCCGGUAACCAAAUGAAGUCAUCCUAUAUAUCAAUCUUCGUUUCCGGACCAUUCCGGAAACUCUCGUGACGUCCGUGAUCUCAUCCGGGACUCCGAACAACAUUCGGUAACCAACCAUACAACUCAAAUACGCAUAAAACAAUGUCGAACCUUAAGUGUGCAGACCGUGUGGGCUCGAGAACUAUGUAGACAUGACCCGAGUGACUCCUCGGUCAAUAUCCAAUAGCGGGACCUGGAUGCCCAUAUUGGAUCCUACAUAUUCUACGAAGAUCUUAUCGUUUGAACCUUAGUGCCAAGGAUUCAUAUAAUCCCGUAUGUCAUUCCCUUUGUCCUUCGGUAUGUUACUUGCCCGAGAUUCGAUCGUCAGUAUCCGCAUACCUAUUUCAAUCUCGUUUACCGGCAAGUCUCUUUACUCGUUCCGUAAUACAAGAUCCCGCAACUUACACUAAUUCACAUUGCUUGCAAGGCUUGUGUGUGAUGUUGUAUUACCGAGUGGGCCCCGAGAUACCUCUCCAUCAUACGGAGUGACAAAUCCCAGUCUCGAUCCAUACUAACUCAACGAACACCUUCGGAGAUACCUGUAGAGCAUCUUUAUAGUCACCCAGUUACGUUGCGACGUUUGAUACACACAAAGCAUUCCUCCGGUGUCAGUGAGUUAUAUGAUCUCAUGGUCAUAGGAACAAAUACUUGACACGUAGAAAACAGUAGCAACAAAAUGACACGAUCAACAUGCUACGUCUAUUAGUUUGGGUCUCGUGUAUCACAUGAUUCUCCUAAUGAUGUGACCCCAUUAUCAAGUGACAACACUUGCCUAUGGUCAGGAAACCUUGACCAUCUUUGAUCAACGAGCUAUUCAACUAGAGGCUUACUAGGGACAGUGUUUUGUCUAUGUAUCCACACAUGCACCGUGUUUCCAAUCAAUACAAUUAUAGCAUGGAUAAUAAACGAUUAUCAUGAAUAAAGAAAUAUAAUAAUAACUAAUUUAUUAUUGCCUCUAGGGCAUAUUUCCAACACAAAUCACCAAGAUUGUUGUCAUGAAGAACAUUACCAUCAUUCUCAUCAUCAUGGUGCUCAUCAUUAGCCUCUAGCAAUGGUUCAUGUUCAAUGUUGGCCUCUUCGUUGGCCUCAUCGACACAAGAAAGAGGUUCAAUGUUGGCCUCUUCGUUGAUGGGUGCAGGAAUAGCUUCAACAAUCGGAGAGGCAACCCGGUUCAAAUCCAACAAGUUAGGAACAUUUGUUUUGAUGGCAAAUAACUCUAGAGCCUUGUCUAGUGAUUCGGCCACCGUAUCCUUGUAUGCAAGCCAACGUUGCUCGGAGUUGACACGCAUGGUCUUCCAACGAAUGUGCAUUCCGAAUCCCACAUUAUGCCUACCAUCAAACUCAACUACAUCACUAGGGUCCAUCCAAUUCAAAUCCUUUCGGACUUGUUCCAACAAUUCACCAUAGCUAGGACACAAAUCAAACACCAUGUCAAGCUCACCCGGGUCCAGAUCAAUAUUGCCUUUUAAAAAGGCAUCCUUGUCCACGUGAUGAACAUAAACACAUGUUCUUCCCAUCCCUAAACAACAAAACAUAGAACUUUUUUUAUAAGCAAUCAUACAACUACAAUAUCUACUUACUAACUUCCAAACAUCCAUAACCCUAACCCCAUCAUAAAUCUAACACAACCAAACAUCCCUAACCCUAGCCUAACCAUAGCCUAACCAUAGCCUAACCCUAGCCUAACCCUAAAACAACCAUAAUGCAAACAUCCAAACAACCCUAAUCCUCACACCAUCAUACCCCUUAUCAUAACAUACAAACAAAUACAACAAUAUCAUAUACAUCCCACAUUUCAUGAAAAACUAGGGUUUUCCUCAAAUUUGCAAAAAAAGACCACAAGAGAUUUUUCUUUGGAUGAGAAUGAGGGGAGAGGUGGGGAUUACCUUAGGGGAGUGAUUGGACAACAAAUGUCCGGUCCAAACCUUCAGAUUUGGUGAUUUGGAGAAGGAUUUGAAGAGGGGCCCGUGGUUGGGAGAGGGGGCUGGGGGAGGGGAAUGAGGAGGGGGUGGGAGAGGGGUUGGCCCGUGCCUGUUUAAGUCAAUGUGUGGCGCCUAAGUGUUCGGCGCUAGGCGUCACACGGCCUGGGGGGUGGGCCCUCCCUGCCAGGUGGUCGGGGGGUGUGGUGCCGAACGGCUAGGCAUCACACAGUGUAGUGUGGCGCCUAGGUGUCGGGCGCCACACAAAAUGGUCAGACGGGUGAAAUAUUUUUCCCCGAGGGUUCACUCUGUGAGUUCUUUCCCUGAGUGGUCAUUUUUGUCAAUUUUGCCCUCUCUCACGCUCGCCUGAAACCCUAGCUUGUUCCGCCGCAAUCAGAAGAGGGAUCCGCUCACAUGGCUGGCCAGCGUAACCGUAACCGCAUCCGUCGUCAGCGCGCCAAGGCUAGGUUGGAUUCGGAGGUUGAGGCGGAGGCGGAGGGGGCGGCGAGGGUGCCAGAGGUCGACGGGGAGGAACUGCGGGGGACAGUAGAUAUCCGGGCUCUGCGGCGGCGGCGCCUGAUUAGCCGGAUCCGCGGCCACUACCUCGAUGCCAUCUCCCGCCUGCCCACCACCGAGCUCAACAGUACCCUAGCGCGCGGCCUCCUCAUCGCCGGUCUCUGCUACGGCCCUCUACACCCCGUCCACAACAUCAUCGUCAAUUCUGUCUGGUAUUCGGCCGCUUUUCCCGUGCGCUCCAGCGACCGGAUCGACGCCGCCUUCAUCAGCAACUGUACCAUACGCCGCCUAGUUCUGCGCUCGCUUGAUGGAUUGGUUGCCUCGCUUCUCCAUCUCUGUCCUGCCCUCUCCGAUGACGAUGCCCUUUGGCACCUCAGUCUCUCCCGCGCUGACCUCCGUGCCGCUGUUGCCUCCGCACGCGGUGCUGCACCGUCGUCGUUCCGUCUGACGGCAUCGGAGCUGGAAGCCGCCUUUCAAGCGGCUGACAAGGCGGCGCGACACUUCAAACCUGCAGCCCUUGCACUCUUUGCUUCUUCCACUGUGCUUUCCGUGGAACGUGACGCUGUCUCUCUGCUCAACAACAAGCGCACGCUUUCCUCGGCUGACAUUCUGCGCCUCUCCACCAUGUUGCUGCCUUCCCCACUACCAGAUGAGCUGCCACACCCUCCUCUUGAACAAGAGCGGUUCACGGCGGCCUUUAAACUCAUCACCAGAAAGAGGAACCUUCUCACAGGAUGGUACAAACGGUGGGUUGAACUAGCAGAUGCAGCGUUGCGCAAGUAUGCCCGGCAAACUGCAGCACAUUAUCAGCUUCAUGUCAUCUAUGGCAUUGGUUCUGUACAUGACGAGUUCAGUAUGGAUGAUUCUUUCCACAUUAGUUUUAUGGCGCGGCCUAAGGAUCCUUCCUGUGCUAGAGAAGCUCCUGUUUUUUUCUUUGCUGAAGCACGUCUAUCUGGCUACGACUUUUGUGAAGAGGACAUCACCUUGUGCUGUACAGUAGAACCAUCACCAAGUGAAGUUGGUAUUCUCUUGACCUCCAAUCAGUUUUGUCUUUUCAGUACUGAAAUUAUUUAGUGCUACUCAUGACAUCUGAUCAUCUCAUGCAUGGUUGGUUCUUUGGUAGUAUUUGAAACGAAACUAAGAUGCUUAUGACUUCAUUCACUAGUUUGUUAGGGAUUUGUUUGCCUGGGGCAUACGUAAUAGGUGCCAUGAAUCAUCUUUCUGAUCCUCUCCAUCUGCAAAAAUCCAGAUAGGUGCCAUGAAUGUGUUACCGGAAACUUCCAAAUUGACCACCCGGAUGAUUCUGAGAAAUUUUCUGGUGGGCAGUACUACACUUUGGAUGGAACAGUCAAAGACCUGGAUUGCCCCAUCAAAAGUGAUGCUGACUACAGGUGUUUCCACCCUGUCAGAGACAUUGGUCUCGUGGAGUACCUGGAUCAAGAGUUAACCAGUUACAUAUCCUCUUGUCCCUCCAGACGUCGUCGUUUUUAUAGAGAAAACAUCGAUGAAGCUAUCUUGGGCUACUGCAGCAGAAUUAUGUGAUCUGUUAUGUGAAUGGUGUUGUUCUUGGCCUGUCCCGUCCUCAUGUAUACAUGUUAUCAAACCGAGAGACGCUUACAGUGCGUCGCUUGCCGGUUGUGUCAUUUUUUGCUUGAAACGUGAAUGGUGUUGCUAUUAAUAGAUGUAGAAAACAAUCAGGUGUAGCACUUUAGUAGCAUCCAGUUCUGCUUUUUUGUCAUGUUGAGCAAAUGUGGUGCCAUAGCAAAUCCCUUCCAUGGUCACCCCUUUCUGCCUCCUAACCUAAGGUUAGUACUUGUUUUUAGGUUGGAAAAAUAAUGAUAGCGUGUUCUGAGGAUUGGGUAGUGGCUUGCAUUUGUUGUGCAGCAGCCCACACAGAUACUCUCUCUCUUCACAAAUAUAAGAUGUUCUAACUUUUUUGUGAAUCGGAUGUAUAUAUACACGUUUGUGCGUUUGCUCAGGCAUUUUGGUUCGUAUGUAGUCCACAUUGAAAUAUCCAAAACAUCUUAUACUCCUUCCGUUCCAAAGUAAUUAGUGUCGUGGUUUUAGUUCCACGACAGUUGUUUUUGAACGGAGGGAGUAUUAUAUAAGUCUUUUUAGAGAUUCCCCUACAAACUACAUACGGAUGUAUAUAGACAUAUUUUAAAGUGUAGAUUCAAUUAUUUUGCUCACUAUGUAAUCCAUAGUGGAAUCUCUAAAGAGACUUAUAUUUAGGAACGGAGGUACAAAGAGGUUGCGGAUUCAGAUAGCUGAAAACGACAUGAAACUGACCGACUGACUGAAGCAACACAAUGAGAGGCUCCGGGCUGCGGACGAGAGAUGACCCCAACUUCGGUUAGUGUUCUUCAGGUUGUCAAAUUGAAGGUCCCGUUUGUUUGACCUGUGAAUUUGCUAUAACCGUUCGUGGGUUGGGUUAUAUGUUGUGAGUGGACAUAAAGUAACGCAUCAGACGAAUCGAUGCAUUACUUCAGGUAAACUCUUCACAACACAGCAGAAUUUUGCUGGGUUCUUUCAGCAUUGCAUCAGCUAUCACAGUUACAUUAGAAAAGUUUUUUUUUAGCUGAUAAACUCUGCUGUGUCAAAUUAGUUACAGGAAAAUCUGAGGAAAAUGAGAGACGAGCACAUAAGCACUGGGAGUAGCUGUCGUUUCAUCUAGCUCGGUUAGCAGUACUGAAUCAGUGAUUCACUGAGCUCAGCAGACACCGCUGAAAGUAGUCAAGAUGCCCUCGGUUCAGGUCACUGGAGAACCAGACUCCUCUGGCGCUAGUGAUCACCAUGUCAAUGGCAUACACAACCAAGCUACUGAUGAAGUUCCGUUGCAUUUAAGCUUCCAGAUCAGUUGACGAAAAGAAUUAAAAAUGCAGUAGAAAUUCAAAUCGAUUUUUUUACGGAAUUGAAUCUCUGCUGUAUUUUUAAAUAUGCCCGUCAACAAAAUGUGAAAAAUUCCCAGAUUGGUUAGAAUGGUGCUGAUUUUACAGUUUCUUUUAUAGAAAAGUCUGGACAUUUUGGUCAAAAUUUGACAAAUAGGGGCUGAAAUUGAAUUUCUAAUAUAUUUUUAAAUAUGUUUGUAAAAAAAGUGUGGGACUUCCCCAGAUUGGUCAUCAUAGUAUUUUUGAUUUUAUAGAAUUUUUAUGGACACUUUGUUUUUUUGUCAAUUUAACAAAAAGGGGUUGAAAUUGAAUUUAUACUGUAUUCUUAAAAUCUACUCCCUCUGUCAACAAAUGUAAGACGCUUUAAUUCACUAAAGUAGUGACCUAAAACGUCUUAUAUUUGUUUAUAGAGGGAGUAAUUGUCAAAAAAGUAUGAAACUUUCCCAGAUUAGUCAGCAUGGUAGUAUGAAUUUUAUGUCAUAUUUUUAUUUUUUCUAGACACAAUAUUUGGUAACUUUUUUGACAAAAAAGGGCCGAAAUUAGAUUUCUACUGUAUUUUAAAUAUGUUAGUAAAAAAAGUGUGAAACUUCCCCAGAUUUAUUAGCAUGGUAGUAUUAAUUUGACAGAAUUUUUCCAAAAUUUUCUGCACGGUUUGAGUUUUUGACCAAAAGGUUGGCUGGUGACGUUGCAGGUGACUAGAUGGUUUGAAACGAGUCAAACCGACGGCACCGGUUUGAAAAGAGUUGGGGUUGAAAGUUGCACUGUUUUGAAAGUUGAGAGUUGGAACUCAGUCUGUUUUAAAAUUUACUUCUUUUUUCAGAUAUUUGUGUCAAUUCAGUGUUGAAGUAUGUACUACUGUUGCAAAUGAAGGCCUUGUUUGUUUGACAGGUGGUUGUGCUGUAAUCUCCGUUGUUUUAGAAAAGGAGACACUUCCCCUCAAAAAAAAAAGGAGACACUUGCACAGCUUCAGCGAACCGAAGCCCUUGCAGUUUUUACAAAAAAAACAGGUCCAAAUGCAAGAACACACGCACCCACCCACACACUAGUAGCAGGUUCGGUACAAACCCCUCGGGGUCCAUGGCACUAGGCCGAAAGAAACCAACUGAGCUAGGACUAGAAAAGCAGCAAAAAGCAGCAAGAAACACCACCAUCAAUCGUCAUUGAGCUCCUCCCUGAUGGCGUGUGCAGGGAGUUGCAAUAGCAGCGGCAUCCCGAUUCUUACCGAGGAAUUUCCAAAGCUGUUAAAAUAUACUCCCUCCGUUCCUAAAUAUAAGAUCUUCUAGAGAUUCCGCUAUAGACUACAUACAAAGCAAGAUCAUUGAAUCUAUACUUUAAAAUAUGUUUAUAUAAUAUCCGAAUAUAGUCCGCUAGUGAAACCCCUAAAAUGUCUUAUAUUUCGAAACGAAGGAAGUAGGCAUUUUGUAAAGCGCAUCAGCCAGAUGUUUUUCAAUAAGAGCUUUGUUACAAAUCUGCCCAAAAGACCAAGCCAUGGCAGCAAAAGCAAUCCGCGCCUCGCGGAAGGCCCCAAGCUUAAAUUGUGAAAAUUGACAAACGAAGUUGGUGCCCAAUUGCACUUAGCAAUAUCUUCCCAGGCCCAUGUCUAUUUUGGACCUGCACUGCCGAAGGAAGACGUUCACACACAAGUUGCCAUUUUUUUUAAUCUUUGUUGGAAUCUUGGCUUCCCAAAUAUCCAUGACCUGCUACCCAUUGAUGCAAAACUAAAUAUAAAGAACUCGGGACCCUUGCUCAACCCUCCAAAGUCUUCAAUGACGGCCAUCCCGUGCAACGACAUCGACCUGCAGCAUGCCCUGCAUAAUUUUGGUGGGCAGACAGUUAUCUUCCCCAUCCGCUACCUCGGCAUUUCAAUCAUGCUUGGUAGAACCAGGCUCGUGCAUCUCUAAUUCAUUUUAGAUAGGACCAGAGCUAGGCUACCUGGCUGGAAGGGGCGCCUCUUACCAAUAUCGGGGAGACGGGUGCUUGUCAGGUGCGUGCUCUCGGCGCUCCGUGCUUUCGCGCUCGUCCUGCUGCGCACUGAUGUCUACUACGCAACCUUCUCCUUGUAGACGUUGUUGGGCCUCCAAGCGCAGAGGUUUGUAGGACAGUAGCAAUUUUCCCUCAAGUGGGUGACCUAAGUUUUGUCAAUCCGUGUGAGGCGUAGGAUGAAGAUGGUCUCUCUCAAGCAACCCUGUAACCAAAUAACAAAGAGUCUCUUGUGUCCCCAACACACCCAAUACAAUGGUAAAUUGUAUAGGUGCACUAGUUCGACGAAGAGAUGGUGAUACAAGUGCAAUAAGGAUGGUAGAUAUAGGUUUUUGUAAUCUGAAAUUACAAAAACAGCAAGGUAACUAGUAACAAAAGUGAGCACGAACGGUAAUGCAAUGCGUGGAAACAAGGCCUAGGGUUCAUACUUUCUCUAGUGAAGUUCUCUCAACAAUGAUAACAUAAUUGGAUCAUAUAACUAGCCCUCAACAUGCAACAAAGAGUCACUCCAAAGUCACUAAUAGCGAAGAACAAACGAAGAGAUUAUUGUCGGGUACGAAACCACCACAAAGUUAUUCUUUCUGAUCGAUCUAUUCAAGAGUCCGUAGUAAAAUAGCACGAAGCUAUUCUUUCCGUUCAAUCUUUCAUAGAGUUCGUACUAGAAUAACACCUUAAGAUACUUAUCAACCAAGACCCUCAUGUCACCUAGACACUCCAUUGUCACCUCAAGUAUCCGUGGAUAUGAUUAUACGAUAUGCAUCACACAAUCUCAGAAUCAUCUAUUCAACCAACACAUAGAACUUCAAAGAGUGCCCCAAAGUUUCUACCAGAGAGUCAAAACGUGUGCCAACCCCUGUGCAUAGGUUCCCAGUGUCACGAACCCGCAAGUUGAUCACCAAAACAUACAUCAAGUACUCACAUGAAUCCACGUGUGCCAACCCAUAUGCAUAGGUUCCCAAUGUCACGAACCCGCAAGUUGAUCACAACAGAUAGACACGUGCAAGACAUACAUCAAGUGUUCUCAAAGACUCAAUCCGAUAAGAUAACUCCAAAGGGGAAACUCAAUUCAUUACAAGAAGGGAGAGGGGGAAGAACAUCAUAAGAUCCAACUAUAGUAGCAAAGCCCAUGGUACAUCGAGAUCAAGACAUCUCAAGAACACGAGAGAGAGAGAUCAAACACAUAGCUACUGGUACAUACCCUCAGCCCCGAGGGAGAACUACUCCCUCCUCGUCAUGGAGAUCGCCGGGAUGAUGAAGAUGGCCACCGGAGAUGGAUUCCCCCUCCGGCAGGGUGCCGGAACGGGCUCCAGAUUGGUUUUUUGGUGGCUACACAGGCUUGCGGCGGCGAAACUCCCGAUCUAGGUUUCUUUCUGGGGGUUUCUGAAUUAAUAGAAAUUUAUGGCGGUGGAAUUGCGUCAGUUGGACCAACGAGGAGGUCACAAGCCUGCAUGGUGCGGCCUAGGGGGUGGCCGCGGCGUUAGGUCUUGUGACUCCCUCAUGGCUCUUCUAGCCUUCUUCCAAAGCUUCGGGGGUCUCUUUUGGUCCAAAAAAAUCAUUGUAAAGUUUCAUUCCAUUUGGAUCCCGUCUGAAAAAGGGUCAAAACACGGAAAAAACAGAAACUCGCACUUGGCACUGAGUUAAUAGGUUAGUCUCAAAAAAGAUAUAAAAUAGCAUAUUCAUGCAUAUAAAACACUCAAAGUUGACAAGAUAAUAGCAUGGAACCAUAAAAAAAUAUAGAUACGUUGGAGACGUAUCAUGCACCCCGCGAAAAUUCCUCAAGAAGGUCGAAAAGGCGCGUAGAAAGUUCUUAUGGCACAGGAUGAUAAGCUCUCUGGAGGCAAAUGCAAAGUCAGCUGGUAGGUCGUCGCGUCGCCGAUGAGCUGUGACGGGCUCGGCAUCCCCGAUCUUGAGCGCUUCACCCGAGCGCUCCGACUGCGCUGGCUUUGGCUUGUCUAGAAGCACUCGGACAGGCCCUGUGUUUGGCUAGGCACGCCAUGCGACGACAAGGAUCGCGCGCUCUUCGCCUCGGCCACGACAGUCACCAUUCAGAACGCGCGAGUCGACACUUUUUUGGCGAGCAACCUCUUUGCCUGGAGUACCCGGACCUGUUCAACCACUCGUCGCGGAAGAACAGGACAGUCAAAGCUGCGCUGCAUGGUGACAAGUGGACCCAAGACCUACGACAUGUCAGCCUCAACAAUAUCCUGCCGCAGUUCAUGCUCUUGCUGCGUGCAAUCCGGAUGCGCACAUCGUUUUCGAGGAGGGAACACCCGAUGAGAUCAAAUGGACUGCUGGAGGGGGGGGGGGGGACUACUCGGCGCGCUCGGCUGAUGACAUGCAAUUCUCCCACCGCCCCCAGACUGAUCACAAAACUCUCAUCUGGAGGUCCUGGGCAUCAGGGAAGAUGAAGAUGUUGUGUUGGAUGAUACAUCACAAUUGGCUUUGAUGCAAUGACAGACUGCAACGACGGGGAUGGGAGAACCGGUACUUCUGCGCGCUCUGCAAUAGAAAUCUUGAGUCCUCCCUUAACCUCUUUUGGGAAUGCUCUUUUGCCAAGGCAAUCUGGUCCCAGGCGGCGACAUGGAAGGGGUGCAGCGCUUUGCGGCCUGACGGGGGCGUGUCGGGGUGCACGACCAUGCAGAUCAUCAAGGGCAAGCUGAUUGGAGCAGCGCUGUGGACAUACAAGGGGCUGCGGUCCAUUCGGAUCGCGAUGCCUUGGCACAUUUGGUUAGAAAGAAAUGGGUGCACUUUCCAUGGACACAUACCAUGCGCUCGGCGAGUGAUCGAUCGAGUUCGUAGCGAUCUGAAGCAAUGGCGUCUGGCCGGAGCAAAAUGCACAACGACCCCUUUUGGGAUCCAACGUGAGAAAUUAGUUCGUCAGCCUUGUUUUGAUGGGAGCACCAGUCUGUUGGUGAAUCCGCGGCCCUAUCAUGAUGACCUCGUCGGAUUAUUUCUUGUAUUCUUCUUGUGCUAAGUCAAUGAAAAGACAGUUGCAAGAUGGAUUUAAAAAAAAUAUAUAAAAAACUCAUAGAGAACUAUAUGGACGGUUCAAGCUUUCAAAGGAACUGUGCCGACCUCGUUAGAAAGAUGAUCAUUUUGUAACAGGACCGCAAGUCUCACCCACUCCUCACAUUUGAUUGGGUCAAGAGAGCAGAAUGAACUGGCUGUGAUGAAAAAUCGAUCAUGCUGUGAGUAACUCUUACGGAUAAAAUGCGUCGAUCUGUUGGAGUUAGCGAGACACCUAACAUGAGGAGAAGGGGCGGUUGAUGAGGUGGGAGGGUGAAUCGAUGGACCGGAGGGAGCGAGCGGAAUUUCCGUCGUUGAAUCGUACGCUUCAGAAAUAAAAUGAACAAAUCUGAUCUAAACACACAAUAAAUUUACAAAAUGAACUGUUUUUCAAAAAAAUCCACUCGCGUAACCCUUUUGUGUGGCGCCUAACAGCAAGGCGCCACACUAUACUGUAUGACAUUUUUGUCUUAGGCGUCAUACAAUGUAGUUAACGUCUUUGUCUUAGACGUCACACCAGGUCUCAGACGUCAUACAACAUAAUGUUAGAUGUCAUACAAUGUCGUGUGAGUUUUAAGACAAAGACGCCAUAUUUUUUUUUCCGAAGAUGAUUCAUUUUGUAAAUUUGUUGCAUGUGUACGUAGAUUUGUUCGUUUUACCCGACUCAGGUAAGAAAAACGCUUGCGCCGCGGACAAGACUAGUCACGCGAGUACAUGCAUGCGGGAAAUGUUUUACGAUUUUUUUAAAACUACUCCCUCCGUUCUUAAAUAUAAGUCUUUUAAGAUAUUUCAUUAAAAGUUUACAUACGGAACAAAAUGAAUGAAUCUAUACUCUAAGGUAUGUCUAUAUACAUCCAUAUAUAGUCCAUUUGUGGAACCUCUUUAAAGACUUAUAUUUAGGAACGGAGGGAGUAUAUUCUAUGAUUUGUUAUUUAAUUUUUUUUUCUCCGAUUGGGGUUGGUAGUUGGUACUAUUGGAAAGAAAAGAAAAGAAAAGAAACUCCCCUCUGUUCCCCUCCCCAGGCUCCGCUCUCGUUCUCUCAGGUCCCAAACAGCGCCUGAAACCCUAGCUCGUUCGGCCGCAAUCAGAAGAGGGAUCCGCUCACAUGGCUGGCCAGCGUAACCGUAACCGCAUCCGCCGUCAGCGCGCCAAGGCUAGGUUGGUUUCGGAGGUUGAGGCGGAGGCGGAGGCGGAGGGGGCGGCGAGGGUGCCAGAGGUCGACGGGGAGGUUGUAACUGCUGCCGAUCGCGUCGUCCAGCGCAAAAUCCCUCUCUCCAAGUUGAGCCAAUCGGCAACCAAAGAGGAGCUGCGGCGGCGGAGCCUGAUUGGCCAGAUCCGCGGCCACUACCUCGACGCCAUCUCCCGCCUGCCCACCACCGAGCUCGCCACCACCCUGGCGCGCGGCCUCCUCAUCGCCGGUCACUGCUACGGCCCUCUGCACCCCGUCCACAACAUCAUCGUCAACUCCGUCUGGCACUCGGCCGCUUUCCCCAUGCGCGCCAGCGACCGGAUCGAUGCCCCCGUCAUCAGCUGCAGGACCAUAAGCCGCCUGGUUCAGCGCUCGCUUGAUGGAUUGGUCGCCUCACUUCGCCAUCUCUGCCCCGGCCUCUCCGAUGACGAUGCCCUUUGGCACCUCAGCCUCUCCCGCGCCGACCUCCGUGCCGCCGUUGCCUCCGCACGUGGGUUCCGUCUGACGGCGUCGGAGCUGGAAGCCGCCUUUGAAGCGGCUGCCAAGGCGGCGGGACAUGUGAAACCUGUGGCCCUUGCGCUCUUCGCUUCGUCCGUUCUACUUUCUGUGGAGCGUGAUGUUGUCUCACUGCUCAACAACAAACGCCGGCUUUCCUCGGCUGACAUUCUGUGCCUCUCCACUACGCUGCUGCCUUCCCCGCUACCAGAUGAAUUGCCAGACCCUCCUCUAGAAGAGCGGUUCACGGCGGCAUUUAAGCUAAUCGCUAGAAAAAGGAGCCAUCUCACAAGAUGGUAUACUGAAUGGGUUGAAAUAGCGGACACAGCGUUGCGCAAGUAUGCCCGGCAAACUGCGGAGCAUUACCUGCUUCAUAUCAUCUAUGGCUAUGGUGCCCUGCGGGAUGAAUUUCAUAUGGUGAGAUCUUACCAUAUCAAUUUCAUGGCGUGGCCAAAGAAUCCUUGUGCUAGAGAAGCUCCGGUGUUUUUCUUUGCUAAAGCACUUCUUCCGUCUGUCUCCGGCUUUUGUGAAGAGGACAUCACCUUGUGCUGUACAGUACAACCGUCACCUGUUGAAGUUGGUAUGAUCUUGACCUCCAAUCAAUUUUGUUUUUCCAGUACUGAAAUUAUUAGGUGCUAGUCAUUUGGUCAUUUGGUAUUUGAAACACAAGUAAGGUCUUAUCACUAGCCCCUUCAUUCACUAGCUUAUUGGGGGGUUUGUUUGCCUGUGGCGUACAUGAUAGCUAAACUGAAAGUGAAUAGGUUGCCUGACCCUCCUGCCCAAUGUUGCAUAUAAAUUUGCAGAUCAGUUGCCUCUGGUCUAGCAAAAUCUUGUUAUGUUCACUUGUUUUUAUCCUUCAAUGAAUCAUCUUCCUGAUCCUGCAUCUGCAAUAAUGCUGAUAGUUACCAUAAGCUCAUUGACUUCAUUCAGUGUUUAGUGGGGAUCUAUCUGGCUGGUAUGUACUCCCUCCGUUCCAUAACUAUUCUCGUGGUAGGUAAACUGAAAACCUGUAUUAGUUGCAGCCAUGAAUGGGUUGCCUGCUCCUGCUGCAGACGGUUGCAUUUUAACUUCCAUACCAGUUUGCCUCUGGCCUAGCAGACAUACUCUUGACAUGUUCACAAUCUUUUGCCUUUUCAAAUUCCUUCAGUGAAUAAUUUUUCUGAUCCUGCAUCUACCAACUGCAGAUAGAUGCCAUACAUGUCUUGCUGAAAACUUUCAAAUUGACCACCCGGAUGAUUCCAAGAACUUUGGUGGUGGACAGUACUACCAUAUGGACGGAAUAGGCGAAGACCUGGACUGCCCCAUCAUGACUGAUGUUGACUAUAGAUGUUUUGACCCUGUCAGAGACAUUGGUUUCGUCGAGUGCUUGAAUCAAGAUUUUGUCAAUUACAUGUCAUCUUCGCCCUGGCAUCGCCGCUAUAAAAAACAGAUAGAUUUAGCUAUCUCGGAUUAUUGCACUGGGAUUAUUUGAUCCGUUAUGGUUGCCUUUUGUUGCUCUUCUACAUUGCCGUUAGCUAUCAAUGAUGCCAUUACAGCUGAAGCAUGUGUUCUCUUGAAUGGGCUUAUUCUAGCGAGACAAAGUUGAAUGCAAUAGAAUUAUGGUCAAAUCUGAUUGCACGGAGGUCGUCAAUGUAAUGUAGCAAGUGGGGAAUUCAAUUGGUCUGGCGGAGGCAAUAUGAGGAAUGCUCUUUCUUAUGUCGUAAUUAUGAUCAAAUUAGUUUCAGGCUGGCCAUAGUGGGGGUAACAUAAGCAGUAUGGUAUACUUGGAACUAUAAAAAAUGCUGAUGUGACACCAAAUUAAAGAAGAGAAAGAAGGUGGUAGUAUCAUAGGUAGAUACCGUAACAAAGCACAUGCUACAAGAAAAAAAUAAUGCAACCUGAUUCCGUGCGAGCUGCGCGUCGUUGCUAUCCCCGGGCUUCUUUCUUCUCCAGAACUUCUCCUCCCCCACUAUCCCACCUCCAUCCCCAUCCCUGAAGUCAGCUCUUCAUCCCUCCCACCGGGCGACGGCACCACCCAUCAUGGCGAGAUCUGGCGCCAGCAAGGAGAUGACCCCGGUCCGGCCGUCAGCAACCUCGCAGCUGCAGCAGUUCCCCGGCGCCCCGAUGAGCUCCUGUUCCAAUCCUUCUCCACCUCCACACUUUUACCAUGGUGCUCUCGCGAGCUCCUCCGCCACCCCCUCUACGCCGCCGCACUUCUACCCCGGUGCCUCGACGUGCUCGUCGGCAAAGCCCUCUUUGAGUCAAUGGUACAUGCUCUUCCUGGUUUUGCUAGAUAAGUAUAACAAAAUUAUUGGGAGAGAGGCAAUUGAUACAUGCCCUGUGUAUGUGGGUUUCUAGCCAACUGAUUUUUUUUCAGGCAAGUCAUAACAGAUUUUGCUUCAGGUUUCAUGGUUUCAGGUUUCAGGUUUCAUGGCAGAUUUUGCCCUGUGCAAUUGAUACAUGCCCUGUGCAAUUAGUUGUUUCAGGUUUUGCCCUGUGUAAUUGAUACCGAUUUUGCUUCAGGUUCCAUGAUUUCAGGUUUCAUAACAGAUUUCAUGGCAGAUUUUGCUGCUAAGAAAUCAGUUACAAAUAGAGGCUAGUAAAUAGAUUUUGCAUGAUAUGCUUACCUUGUAUUUUGCUUCAGAUUGCUGCUAAGAAAUAAGUUAGCAUGUGAAUAAUUUGGUUUCAGAUUUUCAUGAUAUGCUUACCUUGUAUUUUGCUUCAGAUUGCUGCUAAGAAAUAAGUUAGCUUGUGAAUAAUUUGGUUUCAGAUUUUCAUGAUAUGCUUACCUUGUAUUUUUCUUCAGAUUGUCAUGAUCUUCCAAAGUUGCUAUUAUUUCACUUUACAUUUUACCUCCAUUGUCAGAUGUUUUACUCAUGAAUUAUGAUACGUGUAUUAGGAGGCCAUGGUAUACCCCUGCACCUGAAGGUUUGCUUAGGUUUGGACGAUUGCCGCCAAUGCAUCCGUAUAAUUUCCAACAACCGUCAAUGCGCUAUCAUGAAACAGGAGACCAAAUGAUGGAGAAUCAGCACUUUGCUGGUACUUCCCCACAUGAUUCGUUCUCAACACCACCACCGCCGCCGCACCCUAAAGCUGCAUCUCAGUCUGGUCCUGCCAAAGUGAAUUCAAAGUCUUCCAAAAGGAAAAGGAAGAUCAUCAAUAUUGAUGCUGAUGAGGAACCAAGCGAAAUGACCGCAUAUCGUCUGUCCUAUACACCCGAGAAACAUGAACGAUUGGUAGUGUCAAUAUUACUUGCUCAAAUAUUUUCUAUAUGAUUUAAAUUCGUGUAGCUUGUUAGGCUAAACUAAAUUAAAUGUUCACAAUGUAGGCAAGUGCUUGGUUGGAGUGUUCUACUGAUCUCAUUGAUGGGAAUGGUAAGAAGAGUGAGAAGUUCUUAGCUGACACGUCUCGUAUGGAUGAUUCUGCAAAAGCUGGGUGGGCUAAAGCUUUGAAGAGUAUGGAAUCUACGCUAUUUCCUGAAGGAGAUUUAGGUAUGAGCAAAAUUUACUUUAUAAACAGAAGUUACAGAAUAGUUAGACCUCACCUCAAGUUUUUUACUUUGAUUUUCCGUAGUACUCCCUCUAUACCGUAAUAUAGGUCGCUNNNNNNNNNNNNNNNNNNNNNNNNNNNNNNNNNNNNNNNNNNNNNNNNNNNNNNNNNNNNNNNNNNNNNNNNNNNNNNNNNNNNNNNNNNNNNNNNNNNNNNNNNNNNNNNNNNNNNNNNNNNNNNNNNNNNNNNNNNNNNNNNNNNNNNNNNNNNNNNNNNNNNNNNNNNNNNNNNNNNNNNNNNNAGCGACCUAUAUUACGGUACAGAGGGAGUAGAUGACUCAUCGAUUCAGCUACUGACUACUUUGUUUGUCUAAUUUUGACAAGGUGAUUCAGGGGAAUAGCAAUAGAGCAUACGAGAGCAUCCUACAUGAUGGUUUGCCUAAGAACCUGGUGUUUGUUACCUCGGUCAGAUAUGUUAAUUGUGUGAACCUGAUGGUUUGUUGUCUCGGUCAGUUACUUUUUUUUUGUACUGUGUGAACGUGAUGAUACUGUGUGAACGUGAUGGUUUGGUGUGCCAGCCAGCUAUUAUAAUUUGCAUGUCAAUUAUGUGGACGUGAUGCUUUGGUUUCUCUGUCAGUUUCCCAUUUUUUUGUACAGUGGGUGAAGCUGAAUCGUUUCAGUUUCUGGUUUCACAUGAAUCGUUUGAGUGGACUGUGAUAUAUAUACAGGCUAUGCCAUCUCCUUUCCUCACUCCUUCACGGUUCUCCACUUCUUCCCCUCUUCUACAAGAUGGCGAGCAAUCAACAAGCUGAUGCUUCGGAUGGUGAACCAGUCGACAUGGAAGCUGAAGCAACCAUCAUCGAUCCUUCCUCCCUGUACACACUGGAUGACUACCUUCUCCAUAAGGACAUGCUAGACUCCUCCAAGGAGAUCGCAAUGGAAGUGAAGGAAAGCCUGGAAGAUCAAGCAGAAGUGGCCACGUGAAGAAGCCGCUGAGCAGUUGGUACGAGACUAUUUCUGUGAUAAUCCUCUCUAUUCCAGCAAAGUAUUUCGUAGAAGAUUCCGGAUGAGAAGACCCCUCUUCGAGCGUAUCGUUCAUGCACUAGGCGAGUGGUCUCCGAAGUUCACACAAAGGAAAGAUGCUCUUGACCGCGAUGGACUCUCUCCAUUGCAGAAAUGCACAUCGGCUAUUCGCCAACUGGCGUAUAGUACUACGACAGAUGCUCUCGGUGAGUACCUUAAGAUUGUCGAGUGCACUUCGAUUAAGUGCUUACAGCUGUUUGUCGAAGGCGUGAUUCAUAUAUUCAGUGAUGAAUAUUUGUGAAGACAAAAUGCCGACGAUGUGCAGCGUUUACUUGAUAUUGGAGAGAGGCGUAGGUUUCCUGGCAUGUGCGGAAGCCUCGACUGUAUGCACUGGCGUUGGAAGAAAUGUCCCACGUCAUGGAGGGGACAAUUCACCAGCGGGUAUAAAGGCGGUCCUUCUCUUAUUCUUGAGACGGUUGCUUCUCAGGAUUUCUGGAUAUGGCAUGUUUUUUUUGAUGUUGCCGGAUCCAGCAAUGACAUUAACGUGCUUAAUCAAUCGAUAUUGUUCAUUGAGCAACUAAAAGGGCAAGCUCCUUGAGGGAACUAUAGUGUCAAUGAGAAGGAAUAUCAACUUGGUUAUUACCUUGUAGAUGGAAUAUACCCCGAGUGAGCAGCAUUCGUGAAGUCUAUACCGACGGCUCAAACAGCAAAGCACAAAUUGUUCGCUGAACAUCAAGAAGGAGCAAGGAAGGACAUGGAACACGCAUUUGGUGUGCUCCAAGCACGAUGGUCUAUUUUACGGCGUUCGACACGUCUAUAUGACCAGGGAGAUCUCCAUCAUGUGAUGUUAGCUUGCAUCAUUAUGCACAACAUGAUAGUCGAGGAUGAGAAAGAAGAGGCAUACAAUAUUGUUGAUUUGAAUGAGGAAGCAGGCUCAUCGAUUGUCCUUCCAUCCGUAUUUACUCACGGUGACAUGCCAGAAUUUGCUGAGGUACUUGAAAGAGAUGCUAGAAUUCGUGAUAGUCCGUCGCAUAGGGCUCUGAAAAAUGAUUUGAUUGAGCAUAUUUGAAAAAAAAAAUUGGGCGACGGUUGAUUACUUUUGAGUCUUGAUCCAUGUAAUGCUCAAUAUGGUUUAUAUAUUUUAUAAAAAAUUGGCACUUUAUUAUUUAUUAUGGAUCCAUUCAAUUUUAUGGCUAUGUAUUUAUCCAUGUGCACCUUCAUACAAUAUUUUAUAUCGAUACUUGCCAUAAAUAGAUCACAAAGUUGAAGUAGUACUGUAAAUCCCACAAAACAAUAAAUGAAACACACUAUGUUAUCAUACUUAUGAUACUAUCCACUAUAAAGAUAGUAACAAAAACUAGUAUAUACGAGUAGGAUACUAGUCUUUGUUACUCUCCACUAUGACCAGCCUCAAGCAUCUUUCUAGGGAAGCGAAAGGGCAACUGAUGUUUUAUCUGACCAUGUGGAAUGUGGAUCCACUUGAAACUGCCGCCGACUCGCCACAAAAGGCCUCCCCUCUGUCUGGCUCCUUUGGACCAUCUUUGGAUCUCGUCGUCUAGCGCAAAAUCUCUCUCCAAGUUGACCCAAUGGACACCCAAAGAGGAACCGCGGUGCCUGAAUGUCUAGAUUCGUUGCCACUAUCGCCGGUCUCUGCUAUGACCCUCUACAAACCCGUCCACGACAUCAUCGUCAAUUCCGUCUGGUAUUCUGCCGCUAUUCCCAGCAACCGGUCUUUGGACAUAUGUGGGCAGUUUGAAAUACCCUAAGCUAGUUCAGUUGGCGGCAGGUUUAAGGGUGCAACAUGAGGUAUUGAGUUUGAUCCGCAUCCACACGCACUUCUUUUUGCUCCUAGGAAGUUCAUGGCUUGCAGCCUACGAGAGAAAUUUCCUGGCCAAGUGACUUAAGAAAUUUAUUUACAUGUGGAAGGACAAAAUUUUAGUACCACCUUAGACUUAGACUUAGAUAUGUACGAAAGAAAAUAAUUCUGGAUAUUGAAGAAACGGUUUUGCUAGAACACAUGUAGAUGUAAAAUAAGUAUUGCACAUCUAAGUUUUAUACCAUUAAUCUUGCAUGGAGAUUCGUGUGGGUAUUUUUUUCAUUAAUCUUGCAUGGAGAUUCGUGUGGGUAUUUUUUUUUAUGAUUGAUUUAGUUAUUUAUAAAUGUGGAAUAACUAUGUCACAUCAAGAUGUGUCAUAUCAUACCCUUAGAGAAACGGGCCUUCCUUUAUUUUUGUCAUCAUGUAUAAAUGUCAGCCAAUCAGGAGACUCCGCUAUGUUGAUUUAGGCCACCAAAUUAUAAGAUUAUUAGCCAAUUGUUAUACCGCAGAAAAUCACUGCACUGAAACACCCUUUCUCUUAGGCACAUACACCCGCGCAAAGUACAUGUAAGCAAACAUGCCUAGAGCACUGAGCACGGUGAGAAGCCUGUAAAAAUAAUCGAGGUGCCCUCGGUUCAGGUUGUUGGAGAACCAGCUUCCCCCGUCGCUAGUGGUCAUCCUGUCAAUGGCAUACACGACGAAGCUACUGAUGAAGUUCCCGGCUCCGGCUAUGCUCAGGAACAGAGCCAGGCCCAAGCUGCGCAAACCGUGGGGCACCUGGUCAUAGAAGAACUCCUGCAAGCCAACAAUGGCGAACGUGUCGGACAGCCCGAUCAGCAGGUACUGGGGGACCAUCCACAGCACGCUCAUGGGGAUGGUAACUUCAGGUUUAUCCAGCAGGCCAUGGUCCGUUGCCACCCGGAGCCUCCUCGUCUCCACAAGAGCGGCAACGACCAUCAUGACGACCGAAAUCGCCAACCCGACGCCGAUCCUUUGUGGCGGCGUGAUGCCGGAAGGGUUCUUCGUGUGCUUCCGGGCAAGCGGAACGACGACCCGCUCGUAGAUCGGCAGGAAGAUCAUGAGGGCCGCGUUUAUCAGGUUCUGCAGGGAGGCAGCUGGUACCACCAGGGUGCCAAUUCUCCUGUCCAGUGUGCUUGCCUGCUUGGUGAAGAAAGUGAACGAUUGCGAGAGGACGACGGCGUAGAUCAGGCAUGAUGCCCAUAUGGGGAACAGCUUGAGCAAUGCGGUGGCUCCAUGACCCCCCUUCGGCGGCUCCGGCAAAUUCUCGGAAUCAUCGGGCAAUCUGCAUGCCGAGAAAGAUGAUAUGCAAAUAAGGUUUCAAAGUUUCAGAAGAGUGGACUACCCUUAACAGGAGCUCUUCAGAUUUCAGAACCAGCGGGAUUACUUGUUAGCACUUCGUAACGGAUGGAAGCGGUACGUCUUGGUUCCUUGGCAGAAGACGGCUAGAGCGAGGGCCAUGGCGGCGCACGGGAUCGCGAACCCGAGCUGCCAGCUUACGCUCUCCUGCACGUAGUUCAGCACGGACACGGUGAUGGUGUUGCCUCCGUAGGAGGCGAAGUACCACCAGUUGAAGAAGGAGCUCCUGGAGGCCAGCUCGUCGGGGUCGUUCUCGUCGAACUGGUCGGCGCCGAACGCCUGGACGCACGGCUUGUGGCCGCCUUGGGCAAACGCCACCAGGUAGAGGGAGAAGAAGAAGAGAGCCACCUGCGCCGACGAGCUCGUGGAGCAUCCGGCUGAAUCGACCGGCUUGCCGGCGCACCCUGGUCGCUCUCCCGGCGCGAGCACCGUUGAUAGGGUGAGCAUGGCUAGCCCCUGCAGGACAGCCGAGGAGCCAGACUGAUGAUGGUGCACAGUGCAAGUAACGUGAGGCUGUGAGCCAAAGCAUGCUUUGCCGUCGUACCAGGAUGUAGAGGAGGGACGCGCAGAUGACGGUGCGGUAGCGACCAAGCCAGGAGUCGGCCACGGCGGAGCCGAGCAGCGGCAGCAGCAUGGCGGCAGCGAGCCACGCGUUGACGGCCGACGCGGCGGCCGCCGUGGACUGCCCCAGAGGGCCGGUGAGGUAGAUCAUCAGGUUGCCCAUGAUGCCGCAGAAGGCGAACCGCUCCGCGACCUCCACCCCUACGCCCGGGAAAAACCAUACAUGUUCAGACUUCAGAGUCACAGAUAAGGGCGAGGAUGUGCUGCUACACUCAUGUCUCUGUCCGAGGCGCACCGAUGAUGAAGAGCGCGGCCGGCCACCCACCGGAGCUGUCGCGGCAGGCGGGGCGGCCGAGGUGGUCGACGGCGGACAGCGGCGGCGGCUCCGCCCGCGGGAGGAGCGUCUCCGCCUCCGCCUCCGCCUCCAUUGCCUGCUCCUUUCCCCUUGCCGCCUACCUGUUGCCCAAUUUUCUACUCUGCCAACAGCUACCACAUCACUGAUUACCUGCUCCUCCAUUAUCAAAACAGAUAGAAUAAUCAGCAAAAGCAUAUGAUAGAGUUAGUUGGAAAUUUCUGUUUAAGAUGCUGGAAUCCCGUGGUUUUGGGGCUAAGUGGAUCUCUUGGAUUAAAUGCCCGCUAUUACAGAGCACCUUCAGUGUGCGGAUCAAUGAUACUACUGGUCCUUACUUUGUUGGAGCUAAAGGUCUUAAACAAGGUGAUCCUAUCUCCCCUGUACUAUUCAAUCUGGUUGCUGAUGUAUUUUCCAAAAUGCUUAUUAAAGCUUCCUCGUGUGGAUUGAUCUCGGGCCUAUUAGAUAAUAUCAUUCCCGGGGGAGUUGUUAGUCUCCAAUAUGCAGAUGAUACUCUCCUCUUUUUAGAGGAUUCUUAUGAUAAAGCUAGAAACUUUAAAUGGAUCUUGUCCUGUUUUGAAAAUUUGUCGGGAAUGAAAAUCAAUUUUCAUAAAAGUGAUCUUAUUACUAUUAACGUGGCUGAGGAUAGAGCUAGGGUUUUUGUCCAGAUUUUCUGUUGUAAUUUGGGAUCUUUUCCUAUUAAAUACCUGGGAGUCCCUUUGCAUUAUGAUAAGUUGAGGAAAGAGGACCUCCAACCUUUGAUUGACAGAAUUAUUAAAGGUAUAUCUGGCUGGUUAGGUAGAUACUUAACAUACAGAGGUAAGAUUAUCCUGUUGUGUGCUUGUAUUGUGAGUAUUCCAGCCUACCUUAUGGCAGUCAUGAAAUUUCCAAAAUGGGCUAUUAAAGCUAUUAACUCCCAGAUGUCUCACUUCUUAUGGGGAAACAUGGGGGAACAACACAAGUAUCACCUAGCCCAUUGGGGCCUGGUUUCUAGAAGGAAAGAGUUUGGUGGUUUGGGGAUACCCAACAUUAGGGAAUUUAAUAUGGCCUUGUUAGCUUCAUGGGGGAAGAGAUUUUUUAAUGAUAUGGACAGUGACUGGAAAAAGAUCCUGAGAUAUAAAUACAAUGUGGCUAACCCAAACAUACUUUGGUCUAGGCAGCAAGGAGGCUCUCCCUUUUGGAAGAGUGUAACUUGGGCUUUGAAUGCCACUAAAACCUUAUAUAGAUGGAAGAUUGGUAAUGGUGAUCAUAUUAGUUUUUGGCAUGACAUUUGGGCUGGAAAUUGUUCUUUGAAAGUCAGAUUUUGGAACCUAUUUGACAUUUGUAAUCAACAAGAUUGUACAGUAUCUCAGGUUUGGAAUGGGACAUCUCUUAGAUUGUCUUUUAGAAGGUGUGUAGACAAUAAUGGUAUGGAUGAAUGGAAUAAUCUCACUGACUUUAUUAAAUUUUUUUGCAUAACUAAUGUGCAUGAUACACCAAUCUGGGAGCUGGAAUCCAAUGGGAUCUACUCUGUACGUUCCUUCUACAGGUUUAUAAACUUUGGUGGUGUGGUUUCUCCUUUUGGAGAUAGCUUGUGGAAAACUUUAUGCCCUCAGAAUAUUCAUGUGUUCCUUUGGCUAUGUUUGUAUAAUAAAAUCUUAACAAGAGACAAUGUGGCUAAAAGGAAACACCUUGAUGAUCUGACUUGUUUGUUUUGCAAUGAACCAGAGUCCAUACAACACAUUUUCUUUGAGUGCAUUAAUGUUGAUGUUAUUUGGACAACUAUAGCUGAUUUUUUUCAUUGCAGUAGGAUGCUUUGUUUUCAUGAUAUAGCUUCCCUUUGGAAGCUGAAUAAGAAGGAAAAAUUGCUCAAUAUGACUAUUGCUGCCUCCUUGUGGAGUGUUUGGACAUUAAGAAAUGAAUUUUGCUUCCAGGGGCGCACUUGGAGAGGUCUAGGCUGCAUCCUUGUCAAGUUAAGAGGGAUUUUGCAACAAUGGUCGGCUCUCUGUGACGCUGCUCAAGUGACUAUCCUGAAGAAUUUCCUCGCAGUGCUGGACAGGCGUCGGGAAGAGCUUCUGAGGAUCGCCUGGAGUAGGGAUCGGAACUAGUUCUUCUUCUGGUCUGUAAUAUAUAAGAGUUGUUUCGAUGGCUUAAAAGUGUAACUGGGUGAUGAGUUCUUAUCUCCUUUUAGAUUAAAAAGGUGAUAGGAGGAUGAUUUUUCAGGCUUGGAGGACGUAUCGUUUAGAUGCGGUGUUGUUUUCUACUGUGCUCCGCUUCAAUAAAAUGGGGCGUGGGGGGGGGGGGGGCCCCCUUUCUUAAAAAAAAAAAGAAUAAUCAGCAAACAUUCUAGACAAAACGUGUAAAGCGCCAAAGUCACGGUGGGUACAGCACCGUACCCCACGCAACUAUCUGAGGCUCUUCGGUCAUCCAGUCGACCAGGAGGAAACGGCAGAUCCUACUCCUGCCUGUGAACCUCCACUGCAAGCACUGAGUGCAAUGUCUGCAUUUACAAGUACCACUUCACUGAAGACAGUGAACACAGCACAUCGACGCGUUAAGACAGCGCCGUGCAGUUGCACACACCUUGUAAAUUUUUCGUUUUAGGUACACACCUUAUAAAUUGAUUUCACAGCCGCUUAGUACAACACAGUUGGGCUUGCAAAGUGGCGGAGCCACACUAUGGCUGUGUAGUCAAUUGACUACACAACUUUUGAUCAAAACCUUCUAAAUAUACAAGUAAAAUUUGUCCAUAAGUUCACAAAUACCGUAAGAUUUAGAGAGGAAUUAUAGUUGACAUCAUAGGUUUAUUAUUCUGGCACCGCCACUAUGCAAACCCGACAUCUCACCUCAGGACAUUGGCGCAUAGGGAAAACCAGCAGACUCGUUGAAUCCAGAAAUGUGGUUGUUGAGGGAUCUAGCGCCGAUCUUGAUCGUUCGCUUCAGCUUACGAUGGUGACUUUAACUAUUUACGAAGUAUGGCCUAUAUGUAAAACUGCCUAAAACAAGCUUCAGCACAUCUUGCAGAUUCAUGAAUUUCAGGCGUCUCAGUUGACAGUCACUUCGCAUACCAUCAUCCUGCUGGGAUGCCCUUUUUCUUGGGGACAUAAACUUGUGAAAAGUGGAGGUAAGCAGCCAGCCCGAGAACGCUGAGCGCAGCCAGAAGCCAGUAAAAGUAAUCCAGAUGGCCUCGAUUUAGAUUGUCCGAGAACCAACUAUCUCCACCGUCACUGGUUACCCGGUCGAUCGCAUACACCAGAAAGCUACUGAUGAAGCUCCCAAUCCCAAAUAUGCUCAAGUACAAGGCAAGGCCCAAACUGCGCAGACUGUCCGGCACUUGGUCGUAGAAGAACUCUUGCAAGCCGACCAUCGUGAACAUGUCCGCCAAGCCAGUCAGGAUGAACUGAGGUACCACCCACCAAAAGCUCAUAGGAAUUGUCGCUUCAGGUUUGUCCACUAGGCCAUGUUCUCUCGCUAUCCUGAGCCUUCUCAUCUCCACGAGGGCCGCGACAACCAUCAAGAUCACCGAGAUGACUAGUCCAGUUCCAAUCCUUUGCAAGGUUGUGAUACCACAAGGGUUCUUCGAGUAUUUUCUGGCUAGCGGAACAAGUAUCCAAUCAUAUAUAGGAAUCGAGAUGACAAUUGACACGCUGAUAAGGCUUUGUAGCGCAGCAGCUGGUACCUCUAGGCUACCUAUCCGUCUAUCUAGUGUACUUGCUUGUUUAGUGAACAGCGUCAUCCACUGGGCAAAAACAACUGCAUAGAUCAGGCAUGUUGCCCCUAUUGGAAACAACUUAAGCACAGACUUGGCUUCAUCAGGGAAACAUGUCAUUCCUAUAAUAUCCUUGACACUGCUGGACGAUGGUGUUGGCAUGCGGUGAGAAUCAUCAGAUGACCUGCCAAACAAAUACAUAGUGUGCGCACACACGCAAACAGAGAACAUAUGAAGUUAGUGUUUCUGAAGAAUGACUCCAUCAAACUUUCAGAACUUAGAAUGAGCUUACCCCGAACUCCAUGAUUCAUGCCAGGUUCUAAUCGAUGAUAAAAUGUGUUUGACAACCUGUCCAAUUAGGCUUCCAUCACUUCUUACAGGAUAAAAGCGAUAAGUCCUGGUCCCAAGCCAGAAAACUGCAAGAGAAAGAGACAUAACGAUGCAAGGGAUUCCAAACCCAAAUUGCCAGCUUAUGUUAUCUUGAAUGUAAUUCAAGAUUGAAACUGUAACAACACUGCCUCCAUACGUCCCAAAAUACCACCAAUUGAAGAAGGAACUUCUCGAGGCAGAUUCUUCAGGAUCGUUCUCAUCAAAUUGGUCUGCCCCAAAUGCUUGCACACAAGGUUUGUGACCACCUUGAGCAAAGGCCACAACAUACAGGGACACGUAGAAGAAAGCUAAAUGAAUCAUCGAAGUCGAGGAUACAGAGGAAUCGACGUGGUCUCUGAAUUGUGCUGGUUGUUGUGGCGCAAGAAUUGAUGAUAGUGUGAGCAUGCCCAGGCCCUGGAUGCAAUUUAGUGAAAGAAGUACUUAAGCACAGUGAUGCAUAGUGUGUCAAUUCAAUUAUUUUCGAUGCAGAUUGAAAAGAAAGAAAGAAAAAUUGCAGCUUAUAUACAUGCAGGACAAAAGUCGUCAAGUAGGUAGGACGAUGCCGAAGUAUUGCACACACACAAAAAUAUUAGCUGAAUUAAUCGCUGAAAUCCUUUUACUUCAAACCUCAACAUGCCACACAUGCAUCUUUGGAUGUAUCUUGCAUAGUUUGGUCAUUACUAAAAGAGAAAUUUUAGUACUUGUAUCAAGAUUCAUUGAAGCCAGGACCAAGUUUUAUAUGAUGUAUUUCGGUAAUCAAAAUCCAAUGCAGAGUCUAGCAGUUGGUUGGAGUUCAGGAACUAGUAGUAAGCAAAACAUAUCUUAUAUAGGGUAGCACAGUCCUGCCUGAACUUGCAAUCAACUGAUAAAAAAUAAUGUCACAGUUAAUACAAGGGUUUAAUGCAGUGGGAUCCUCAAAGUUGAACCCAAAACACUGACUGAGAAGGCUAAAUGAAGUCCAGUACUCCAUCAAGGGCUCGCUAGAAUAUAAACCUAUGCUUCCUAAUAUUAUACACAGAUUCUUCAAGGGGGUGUAGAGUCCGAAGGGAUCCAUUCUUGUACCAAGUACUCCAGUCCAAUUUGCGCGCUUUAUUUGCUCUCGAAGCUAUGUAUUGUAUGGUAUCUUACUGAAAUCGGAGCUACUCCCUUUUAUAAAAAUACAGUACAUAACACCAACUUGAUAGAAAACGAAAAUGUAUCACUAACUAAUGCCUAGGAGGCUGAGAACUCAGAAUUCAUGGAUAUUGAUGUACAACCUCCGUCCGGAAUUAACUGUCGCUGAAAUGAGUGUAUCUAAACGCGUUUCAGUGUGUAGAUACACUCAUUUCAGCAUCAGUUAAUUCUGGACGGUGGGAGUACAAUACAGGGCAAGGUCCGACUUCCAAUUGCUAAAGUCAGUAAAGAGUGUAGUUUUAACUUGCAGAUUUGAACCAAUCCGAAAAUACGAGUAGCUGUUAGAUGUUCAGAAUCAAGGUAGCAGUUGGGUAGCCUAGAUUCAGACUGCAUGCUACUACUCGCUACGAGCAAGCAAGACCAGAACAGCAUGGCGUAGUACUUACCAGGAUAUAGAGUAGGGAGGCGCAUACUACAGUGCGGUAACGGCCGAGCCAGGAAUCGGCGACGGCGGCUCCGAGCAGCGGCAGCAGAAGCGCGACGCCGCUCCAGGCGUUGAUGGCCGCGGCUGCUGACGCCGUGGACUGCCCUAGCGGGCCGGUGAGGUAGGUGAUGAGGUUCCCUGAGAUGCCGCCGUAGGCGAACCGCUCUGAGAUCUCAACCCCUGCGGUACCGACGACACGCGGGUCAAAGAGGAUCGAGCGAGUCUACGGCGGAUUGCCUUGCCGUUGCCGUGCUGUACCGAUGAUGAAGAGCGCGGCGGGCCACCGGCCGGAGGUUUGGCGCGAGACCGGACGGCCGAGGUGGUCCACGGUGGUUGCCGGUUUCGGCAGCAGGGGCUCCGCCGCGGCGUCCAUGGGCGCCCACUUGUUCCCUUCCUCUACAGUAGUCUCGCUCAAGAAACGGGAAAAAAAGUCUCGCUCGUGUCUCGACUCAAGAUAAGUAACUGUGCUAUAAAAAUCUUGAAUUCAACCAUGUAGCGGCGCCGGAUGCUGUUGCCAUACCUAGCCAAACGGGGCCGACCCGGCACGGCCCGACCUGCCAAUAAUCGUGCCAGGCACGGCACGACCCGUCUGGGCCCGAUUACGGGCCGUGCCUAAUCGGGCCGGCCCGUAACACGUUUAGGUCCGCGGCAAUUAAUAUACGGGUCGUGCCUAAUCGGGCCGGCCCGUAACACGUUUAGGUCCGCGACACGCUAAUCAUCCGUCAUGAAAAAAAGCUGAAAAAAACUCCAGCCCGUGUCUCGUCUUCCGUGCCUCCCGCCCGCUCCCGCCUGUGAAAUCUCCCGCGUCUCCCUCAAAUCUCCCGCGUCUCCCGCCCCCCCCCCGCCUGUGAAAUAUCGCUGGUCGCUGACUCGCUCGCUCUCGCGCCUCCUAAUCGUGCCGUGUCGGGCUGGCACGCGGGCUGGGGGUGGCGGCCCAGGCACGGCCCAUGGCGUGCUCGUGCCUAGCCCGGACACGAUUAGGCCGUGCCGGCCCGGGCCCGUCUCGUGCGUGGUCUGCGGGCAGCCGUGCCGGCCCGUCAGGCACGACCCGUUUGGUCAAGUAUGGUUGGUGCUUUCAUGCGGCGGCUCACAUGCACAUGUAUCUAAAAUAGACGUAAAGAUUCUCUUCAAUGCUUGAAAUUUAAAUUUUUUUAUCUUUAAAACCGUUAAUUCAAUCGAUGAUCUGUUUUCACUGUUGGCUUUGUCGUGACAAGAUCUCCAAAACUAGAUCCCAUGUCGACAUGUUUCGACAAACUUUUUUUCCUUCCGUAAUUGCCACAUUGUUUCACUCACUUGCUAUAUUAGUAACCACUUACUUGCCCAAUAAAUAACUUAAUUGCGAUUUUUUAUGUUGUUUCGUGUAAAGAUUGUCGAUGCUUAUAAAUGCAGUCCUCAAAAUGUUUUGAUGUGCUUGUCAUUUUUAUUCUACUAAGUUGUCAUGUGGUCUCACAAAGCUUGUAGGUGCUUAUAAAAUCACAGUUGCCACAUAUAUUUUUUGUGCUUGUCAUUUUAAUCCUACCUCGUUAUCAUAUUGUCUCAUACAACUUGUGAGUCAUUGUAAAAAAAAUAGUCGUCACGGUGUUUGUUGUAUUUAUCUGUUGAAUUCUAUCAUCGAUUGUUAUGUUGUGUCUAAAUAAAAGGACAUUUGAUUGUUCUGAAACGUAGUUGUGGUAGUGUUUUGUUGUGUCGGUCAGUUAAAUUCUACUCAAAUCUUAUAUAAGCUUGUCAUUUGUCAUAAACACUAUAGUUGUCGUAUUAUUUUGCAACGCUUGCCACUUAAACUAUAACUAGUGGCCAGUUAUUUUAUAAGGUUCAUGCACCCCACCACCUCAUUACCACGAGUAUUCUAUGUAGUGAAGAAAAAUAAACCAAACAUGCAUGUUAUAUGCUUUGUCAUAUAAAAAGAUAGACCAUGCAUACAUGCAUGCUACAAGCUUGUGCCUAGUACUCGGCAUGCAUGCAUUUCCCAGAAGCAAAAAAAAUAAACCACGCAUGCACGACAGCGAGAGAUCAUCCAUCUCCUCUCGGUCAAGCUCCUAUGCAUAGCUAGCUACAGACCCUCCUAAACGGCUCACACCCCCGCGCAUCAUCGGACGGACGCGAAGCCGCCGCACCCGAAGACAGGGGUGCGUACUGUAUAACUUAGAUUUUUCCCAAAAAUCUUUAUGAAAGCUAUGAUUAGUAGGUUUUUCCUAUUAGCAAUAGAAAUGAUUUUCCUCAAACCAGACAUCAAGAACAUAUACAUUCUUGAGAGUGUUGUGCUGGCCCAUGAGGUUAAAAAGUCUGUGUCUUCGGUCAAUUCCAACGCGCGAUCCCAUCCUAUCUGCAUGCGUUCAUUUAGAUCAAAACGGACAGGUGACACGGCCCAACGUGCAGCCGCAUCAUCAAAUUAUGUCCGUUUGGUGUUCGGCCCAUCCCAUUUCCGACGCAAACAUGCGAUCGGUUUGCGUUCACGUGGAUGCUGAACGGACGACCACGCGCUUGCGGGUCGUCCGCCUCGGGACGCGUGGCGGCUGCCCAACUACUUCCACCGCCCAAUUUAAAUGCGCACGUGCGGCGGGCCCCGGCCGUCAGUCACACAGCACGCAAUCGUCGUCCUUCUUAAAUUGGAAGCCGUGGACCGGCCAGUCCACAACUUCCAGUUCCCCACCGGCUGCCUCCUAAAACCCCGACAAGCAAACCCUAGCCCUCCCCCUCUCCGCCCCUCUCCGUCAGUGACAAUGGUGGGGCGAUGGUUCCACGGCCGCAAGACGAGGGACGAGCACGAGGCCGACUCGUCGUCCAAUCGCGGUCGCCGCUCCCACACCCCACCUCCACCUCUCCCGCCCGCCUUCCAUAUCGCGUCGGGCGACACCCAACCUCGUCGACGACCGUACGUCAAGGCGGAGGUGUGCCGGCGGUACUGGAAGACACGCUACGCUGUUGCCGUGGGGCGACGCGCACCUCCCAAACAACUCGCACCUUUCCCCGAACUACGUGCAUGUCCUGCCGGUGCUGGUGAGCGUUCGCCCGUCGGGAGGAGAUCCAUCGUCGUCGCGCCCGCGUGCCCUCGGACCUCAUCCACGACUGGAGAUACGCCGUGGACUCGCCGCUCUGGGAUAGGUGGCUCUGCGAGGAGCACGACGUCCGACGACGGUCCUAUUUUGCAGGCCGUCCGGCAAGCCUGCGUCUCAUGCGCGCUGACCGCCGCACGCCCACUCCUAGCGUGCCCAGGUGCGCGGUCGCACGCAGGUUCGCGGCCUUACCCCAUCGACGUCGCCAUCUCCCUCCCCACCCCCCGAGCCAAUGUCGAUCGCCGAGCAGGAGGAGCUCGAGACGAUGGUGUUGGAGGAGUCCCUCCACACCCACGACGAGCGCCAAUGGGAGGGCCUCGAGCAGAUGCUGGCCCUCUCUGCGGCCGGCGACGUUGCCUUCCCCGAGCUCGACGCAUACGUGAAGGAGUAGGUGCGGCCAGAGGUGGCGAUUGAGGAGGCGACGGGAUGGAACCCGACAUUGGUCGGGCAGUCCUGGACGUGGAUGGAGACCGUGUCGUGCACGCCCGAGGGGGACGCCGACCACUAGUCACCAUCCCCGCCACGCGAAGAGGUGGUGCACGCGCCACCGCAACCGGCACAGCAGGCGGCUCCGCCAGCCCACCUCUGGCAGCCACCUCCAUACGUUGACCUCACCGGCGACGAGGACGACGACGAGAAGUAGACGGCGGCCAGAGUAGGCAACGACUGCCAGGGCGGCGGCGACGACCCUUUCUAUUUUUUUUUAUUAUCUUGUUUAUAUUAAUGUCGAACUUAGGUAAUGUGGACGUUUUAAUGCACAUGUUUAAUAUUUUUAGGUUGUUUUAAUGUUUAAUUUAGGGUUCGGGGGUUUAUUUUCAAGUCCAAACAAACGGACCGUUUGGGGUGCAGUCGACCCGGUGGGUGCACCGAGAUGGAUGUGUCCAUUUUCCUGCCCCAAACGGACGAAAAGCGGACGAAUCAGACGUCCAUUUGAGGUCGCGCGUUGGAGUUGCCCUCAAGGGAUUCCGCUUAAAUUGGAGUAUGAAAAAGCCUAUGAUAAAAUAGGCUGGGAUUUUCUCUUUAAAAUGCUUAAUUUUAGAGACUUUGGACAAAAAUGAAUUUCCUGGAUUAAACAAACUAUCCUACAAAGUAUUUUUAAUGUAGGAUUAAUGAUACUAUUGGCCCGUACUCCAUGGGGAAAUGGUCUCAAACAAAUGGAACCCCUCUCUCCUCGACUUUAAUGUUCAUUAAAGCUUCAAAACAUGGGCUGAUUUGUGGGCUCCUUCCCAUGCUACUUUUGAUGGUGUGAUUAGUUCAUAAUAUGCGGAUGACACACUUCUUUUUCUGAACGACUCAUGUGACAAAGCUAGAAAUUUCAAAUGGAUUCUUUUUUGUUUUGAAAAUCUCUCUGGAAUGAAAAUUGUUUUUCAUAAAAGUGAUUUCUUGACCAUUAAUAUUAAGAAGGGGAGAUCUAAGAUCUUUGCAAAAAUCUUCUCUUGCAAAUUGGGAUCUUUUCCCAUCAAGUAUUUAGGAGUGCCUCUGUACUAUGAUAAAUUAAGGACAGAGGAUUUAUAGCCUAUCAUCAAUAGGAUUGUUACAAAUAUAUCUGCUUGAUUAGGUAGAUACCUUACAUGCAGAGGGAAGUUGAUCUUGCUUUGUGGUUGCAUAGUCAGCAUUCCUGCUUACUUAAUGGCUAUGGUAAAAUUUCUCAAGUGGGAAAUUAAUGCCAUCAAUUCACAUAUGGCCCAUUUCUUUUCAGGUAAUAUAGAUGAUUAACAUAAAUACCAUUUGGCCAAUACGGGUCUAGUUACUAAGAAGAAGAAAAAUAGUGGCCUUGGAGUUCCUAAUUUGAGAGAUUUUAAUAUGGCUCUUUUGGCCUCUUGGGGUAAACGUUUCUUUGAGACUAAUGAUAAUGAGUGAACAAAAAUAGUUGCCUAUAAAUACAAUGUGCACUCACCAAAUAUUUUGUGGGUCAAACAAGGUGUUUGUUCCCCCUUCUGGAAGAGUGUGACAUGGGCUCUGCAUGCUUCAAAAACUUUUUUAUACUUGGAAGAUUGAGAAGGGCGAGAAUUUCAACUUUUGACAUGACACAUGGGUUGUGAUUGUUCCAUGGAAACUAUGUUUUGGAAUUCAUUUGAUAUUUGUAAUCAACAUGAUUGCUCGGUUGCCCAGCUGUGGGAUGACAUUACUUUGGAACUCUCUUUUACGCGAUGUGCAGUUUAGGGGGGGGNGGGGGGUGGGUGGGUGCGGAGAUGGUUAUAGAUGAUUGAACACAUGAUGAAGUUCCCUCUAUCUACCUCACGUGACCCUGCCCGUCUGGGUGUUGGAAUCUAAAGGAAAAUAUUUCGUCAAAUCUGUAUAUAAUACCAUUAACUUUGGAGGUGUGGUUUGUUCUAUUGGAGAUGACCUUUGAAAAGUUCUUUGCCCUCAAAAUAUACAUGUUUUCAUGUGGCUUUGUGUAUAUAAUAAAGCGCUGACUAGAGAUAAUUUGGUUAAAAGAAGACAAGUAGGUGACAUAUCAUGUUCAUUCUGCAAUGAAAAUGAGUCCAUUCAACAUCUUUUUUUGGAUGUGUGGUAGCCAAGUGCAUUUGGUCCCUAGUUUCAGAUUUUUUCAAUCUUCAAACAAUGACAUGUUUUGAUGAUGUUUGUGUUGUUUGGCCUUUGCAUAAAAGUAAACUUGCACUUAACCUGGUGGUUGAUGCAUCCUUGUGGAGUAUAUGGAGACUGAGAAACGAUUUCUAUUUUCACGGAUGCUCAUGGAAAUGUUUGAACCGUGUUCUACUCAAGCUGAGGGGUGUCCUUCAUCGUUGGAUGGCACUCUGCGACAACACACAUGCGGAGCUCCUACGACGUUGUAUCUUACUGAUGGACAAGCAUCAUGGGGAACUUCUUCUAAUAUCCUGGAGAUGAUCUCUGCCCCAUGGUGCUUGCAUACAAAAACUUACUAAGAUCUUAGCGCAUGAAUGUAAUAAUAUGAGUAUUUAACAAAAAGCUAUCACAGUUGGGGGUUCGAUUCCACAGAACUACCACUUUCAAUAUGUCAACAAAAAAUUACCACUUUCGGAUAGUGUCCGAUUUAAACAUGUUUAUGACAGGCGAGACCCACUUGUCAGCAUUGGCAUGGCAGGAAAGUCAAGUAGACAAUACUUAAAAAUAGAAAAUUUGUUCAAUCGACUUGCAAGUCAAAAUAUCUUAUCAUCUGCUCCAGAUUGGCGCAUUGCACAAGUAGACAAUGGAUUAAAAACAAUUAAGUGUUCAAUCGGCCUGCACCCCAAAAUAUCUUAUCAUCUAUGUGUUGAUAAUUUGGAAAUAUAAAUAGAAGGACCUAGAUUGGCACAAGUAGACGCUGGAUUAAAAACAGUAGAGUGUUCAAUCGGUCCGCACAUCAAAAUAUAUUAUCAAACAGUAGAGUAUGUGUUGUUAAUUUGAAAAUAUAAAUAGAAGGAUCCAGAUUGGCACAUCGACGUACACAGCACAAGUAGACGAUGCUGGUAUUUCUUUGCUUGACUUGCUACCAGCCGGUGCGGUCAUUUUGAACAUCAUCUUUUUUGUAGAUAAGUAAUAGGAGGAUGUGCACUCAUGAAGCUGACCACGAAAUAACUAUUCGUGAGAUCGGCGGAGCACCUAAUCAAUCCAUCGGUCUCACAUUCUCAUGAGGAAUUGUCCUGGGCAUCUAGGCAUAGAUCAGCUCUAUAAAUUUGCACCCUUAACCCACAUCCAUUUCCAACAGCCAACACACUUACGGUUCAGCUCAACAACCAGCCACACAUCUCCUGUAGCUACUAUACCCUAGCCAGCCAUGGUAAACCCUAGCUAUUUUACUAGCGCUCCGGUUACCCAAGAGAUCCACCAGAAUGAGCUCAACUUCCACUUGUACAUGUAUCAGUGGGUCGAAGGGUCAGCACAGGUUAAUGAGAAACAAGUGGUGAAUAUAGCGCAUCCCACGGGGUUUGGAGCCAUUUACGCCAAUGACUGGACCAUGUAUGAUGGUCCUGGUCCCAAUGCGAACCUUGUCGCACGUGCUCAGGGCGUGCAUACCGGUAGUGACAUGAACCUAGGGGACUCAUGGCUUGUCUGUCUCAACAUUGUAUUCGUCGAUCAAAGGUUUGACUCACUUCAAUCCUCCAGUUAGGGUGGUUUUCGUAUGUGUUCCAUUUGAAGAUUUCAAAAUUUUCAAUUGUUUCAUUGUGAUCUAUCAUGUAUAUAUCUUUCGACAUUUGGUCUAGGUUUCGGGGGUCUACCCUGAAGGUGGUCGGAAACUAUGGAGGACUGCCUGUAGAUGAAUGGGCAAUCGUCGGUGGGACCGGAGAGUUUGGAUUUGCACAUGGUGUUGGCACCUUCAGAAAAUAUAAGGAGAUGGGCAAUGGGAACAUGAGGGAGUUCAAUAUUCGUGUUCGCUGCCCCACUUUGCAAAUACCACCGGUGAGUUGAAGGGCAUACUCCUGCUAGCUUACUAUCUUUCUUAUAAUUUGGAAAUAUCCAAAUUUACGUAUCAGCGUUUGUAAGAUAACCGCGCUACUGCAUCACACAGGUGCCGACUCCUCCCAACGACAAGGAGGGGCCGUUGGGUGGCAAAGGAGGGGAAGCUUUUGACAUCCUAGGUCAUCCUCAACGCCUGGAGAGUGUGACAAUUCGAAGUGGCGACAUCAUUGAUUCACUUGCGUUCUCCUACAUAGACCAAGCUGGGAAGAAGCAAACCGCUGGUCCAUGGGGUGGUAAUGGCGGGCUCGAGGAAACGGUGAGUGGAUACCAGAUCACAUUACAUCAUUCCAAUGUCAUUUACACGUUUUUUCGGUUUGCAUUUUGAAAUCUCUCUCUUACACCCACUUUGUUAGUGUGCGCCUUUCCCGCGAGGCAAGGCAAAACAAAAUCUGCAAAUAUAUAUAUAAACUUGUAACACGCGAACCUACAUAUAUAUGCUCUCUUCUAUCUAUUUAUACGAACAAACAUGUGUUUACUUGGUGAUGCCAUUUCGUCUGCAGAUCACGUUUGCUCCUACAGAGACUCUGAAGAAAGUUUUUGGAGUAGUCGGUACCAUUGGAGGACACACUGUCGUUACCUCGCUUACCUUUGUCACCAAUAUUAAGAUAUAUCCAACUUUCGGAAAAGGAACAGGAGGUACUACUUUCAGCAUACCCGAGAAGAACGCUAGUGUUGUGGGCUUCUUUGGUCGCGCUGGAUCAUAUGUCGACGCAAUUGGUGUUUACAUCGCAAAUUAGGACAAGUUCCUUUUCCGAAGAAUAUAAUCGUGGGUCUAGGUGAAGCCUCCCACUUUCAUUUCAACUAUUCCACAAAUAAAAUGGACACACGUUGUCAUCACCACAUGUAUACUUCUAUUGUUUUCCUUUUGAGACUUUGAGUUCGUACUUUCGUUGUAAUCAAACAUUUUCUUCAAUAUAUAAGUGUGCUCCCCUUUCGCUCAAUCAGCUGAGUGUUCUCAAGUCUCUAAGAAAACAGAGGCUUGAUUUUUCCAAUUAAAAUCAGAUUGAUUGAAGGAAGCAUCAUAUACCAUCCGCUGAAGUUAAGGAAUCAUCAAGGGUUGUAUCACUUUUGUUUUCUUCAAACCCAAAACACCAUUUGGAUUACAAGUGUGGGAUUGAAUCCCGGCCAUCUUUACAAUUAGUCUACACAAUUUAAGGAAGAUUCAAUUCUGAAAAUAAAGAAAAAUAAUGGUGUCCUCUCACAGGGUGCUUGGAUACGUUUUAGUUCCAUGACUAAAAGUAGUGGGACUAAAACUUGCUAGCCUCAACCAUGCUUGUAUCCAAAUACUAAAGAGGCUAAAAUCAAGUUAAUGAGCAUUUAUUAUCCUCCAAACCCUUCAAUCUAGAACUCGUCUGUGUCAAAAGAGAGGAGUUAAAUGAGGAGAGAGAGGACUAAUCCACAUUUUAGUAGGGGUACCCCUGACUAAAAGAUUUUAAUCUCAAGACUAGUUUUAGCCUUUCUUUAGUCAGGGGUGUUUGGAACUUUAGCCUCUUAAAAAAAUUACUUUUAGUCAGACUAAAAUAAGUCCCUUGAAUCCAAGCACCAUCUCAAUCUCUCUUCAUAAUUGGUACGGGAAAGGGAGGCUCCUCUCAGCCAUAAGAUUUGUGGCCGUCCGAUGCAAUGCUCUUGCCGAUCAUGCCCAUUCGUUGUUGCCUUCUGUUUCGCUCAUUCACUGCCGUUUAGUCGAACAGCUAGAAAACCCAGGUUCCUACCUAUGAUUCUCUGAACUCACAGUUGAGUACUAAGAGGGUGCUUGAAUACGUUUUAGUCCCAUGACUAAAAGUAGUGGGACUAAAACUUGCUAACCUCAACCAUGCUUGGAUCUAAAUACUAAAGAGACUAAAAUCAAGUUAAUGAGCAUUUAUUAUCCUCCAAACCCUCCAAUUCAGAACUUGCACGUGUUAAAGGAGAAGAGUUAAAUGAGAAGAGAGGACUAAUCCAUAUUUUAGUAGGGGUAUCCCUGACUAAAUUUUUUUAGUCUCAAGACUAGUUUUAGCCCAUCUUUAGUCAGGGGUGUUUGGAAUUUUAGCCUCUUAAAAAGACUAUUUUUAGUUAGACUAAAAUAAGUCCCUUGGAUCCAAGCACCCUUUGAGCUUAGCAUUUACCACUGUACUGAACAGAAGAGUUGAUACACCAUUUUAACGUAUUUACAGAGCACCGUGCGACAUUGAAGAAACUGUAUUUUCAAAAGUUCCAAUGCAAAAACUCGUUGUAUACUGCACACCUCAGAAAUCGAAUCGACAGACGCUUAGUACAACAAUUGGGAGAAACUUCAUGAACCGAAUGCAAACCGACAUCUCAACUCAGGACAUUGAUGAACUUCCCAGCAGAAAUUCUCAUUUGAUCCGGCAGUGUGAUUGUUGAGGGAUCUAGCACCGAUCUUGUUCGGCCGGCUGAAGCAGCAGCGUCCAAGCAGGCCCGAUCAUCCGCCUCAGCUUACGGUGGUGACUUUACCUAUUUACGAAGAAUGUCCUAUAUGUACGACAGCCUAAAGCAAAGCUUCAGCCCAUCUUCCAGAUCCAUGGACUUUGAAAAGGCUAUGGGCGGUAACCCAUGGACUUCAGGCAUCUCAGCUGCCAGUCAUUGUUCGGAAAUGCCCUUCUUCUUGUGGAUAUACACUUGUGAAAAGUAAAGAAAAGCAGCCAGCCCAAGAACGCUGAGCACGGCCAGAAGCCAGUAGAAGUAAUCGAGAUGGCCUCGGUUUAGAUUGUCCGAGAACCAACUAUCUCCGCCGUUGCUGGUUACCCAGUCAAUCGCAUACACCAGAAUGCUACUGCCGAAGCUCCCGGCCCCGAAUAUGCUCAGGUAUAAGGCAAGGCCCAUACUGCGCAGAUCCUCCGGCACUUGGUCGUAGAAGAAUUCUUGCAAGCCCACCACUGUGAACAUGUCCGCCAGGCCGGUCAGGACGAACUGAGGUACCACCCACCAAAAGCUCAUCGGAAUCGUUGCUUCAGGUUUGUCCACUAGGCCAUAUUCUCUCGCUACCCUGAGCCUUCUCAUCUCCACGAGGGCCGCGACAACCAUCAAGAUCACUGAGAUGGCUAGUCCGGUUCCAAUCCUUUGCAAGGGUGUGAUACCACAGGGGUUCUUUGAGUACUUUCUGGCUAGCGGAACGAGUAUCUGGUCAUAUAUAGGAAUUGAGAUGACGAUUGACACGCUGAUCAGGCUUUGUAGGGCAGCAGCUGGUAUCUGUAGGCUACCUAUCCACCUAUCUAGUGUACUUGCUUGUUUAGUGAACAGCGUCAUCCACUGGGCAAAAACAACUGCAUAGAUUAGGCAGGUUGCCCCUAUCGGAAACAACUUAAGCACUGACUUGGCUUCAUCAGGGAAACAUGUCAUUUCUGCAUUAUCCUUGGCUUCCCUGGAUGUCGAUGUUGGCAUGCAGUGAGAAUCAUCAGGCGAUCUGCCAAUCAAAAACACAGUGCACACACACACACACCAAACAGAGAACAUAUAUAGUCAGCAUUUCGAACUCCAUGAUGUGUGAUACAAAGUUUCAGAAGUUAGAAUAAUCUUACCUCCCACACCAUGAUGCAUGCCAGGUCCUAAUUAAUGAUAAAAGGUAUUUGCGAAUCUGUCCCAAUAAACUUCCGUCACUUCUUACAGGGUAAAAGCGGUAAGUCCUGGUCCCAAGCCAGAAAACUGCAAGAGAAAGAGACAUGACGACACAAGGGAUUCCAAACCCAUACUGCCAGCUUAUGUUAUCUUGAAUGUAAUUCAAGAUUGAAACUGUAACAAGAGUGCCUCCAUAAGUCCCAAAAUACCACCAGUUGAAGAAGGAACUCCUCGAGGCAUAUUCUUGAGGGUCGUUCUCAUCAAAUUGGUCUGCCCCAAAUGCUUGCACACAAGGUUUGUGCCCACCUUGAGCAAAGGCCACCAUAUACAGGGAGAUGUAGAAGAAGGGUAAAUGAGCAGCCGAAGUCGAGUAUAGAGCGGAAUCCAUGCGGUCUCCAAAUUUUGCUGGUAGUUGUGUCGCAAGAAUUGAUGACAGUGUGAGCAUGCCCAGGCCCUGGAUGGCGGAUUUAAUUGAGUGAAAGAAGUAUUUUAGCACAGUGAUGCAUAGUGUGUGAAUUAAAUAAUUUUCCAAGUAGACUACAAAAAGGGGAAAUUUUCCAGGCUAUUACAUGGAGGAAAAAAAUCGUCAAGCAGCUAGUAUGAUGCCUGAGCAAGUAUUGCAGGAUUUUUCUUUGAGUAAGAAUAGUAGGUUUGCCUACUGCAUGUAUUUUUAUACUUUUAAAAUAUCCAAAAUUUACAGGAUAUAUAGAGGGAAAAGAAAGGGAGAAGAUCCUAGUUUAAGUCCCAAGGCUUCUAAAAACACAGAUUACAAAAGACUUCAACCCAAAAUUGAGGACCUGAAAGGGAUUUCUUCUUGGCUCUAUGUACUAACAGGGAUAUUUCUGCUUUGAACUUGGACCUUCAUCUGUAAAGGAUUGGUGAAAUUCCGUUGAAAGCAAAGUAGUUAGUAGUCUAGAUUGCACAACUGACCAACAUGAUGAUUUCCAUGGGCAAUGGUAGCUGAACUAUCUGCCUUAGGUCUGCAAUUAUGAUCUGAUUAUCCAUAUUUUGAGGAGUCCCUUCUGUCAAUGAAUUUGUGAAAACGUUUGAUCCGUAGAAAAUCAUUUUGCACCCUCAGGUUCAGGACACCUAGUCCUCCUUGGCUUUUUGGCUCACAAACAAGAUCCCAGGCAGCAAGAGGUUGAUAUUUCUUUGGGAGAUGCUUAUUCCUCCAUAAGCAAUGUCUAUGUACUUAUCCAGCGCAUCAAUAACCCACUGGUAGAGUUUUUUAGGGAGCUGAGAUAAAAUAUAGGUAGAGAUGAAAGCACAGAGUUCACAACUCGAAGUCUACUUCCAUAGCUUAGAUGGUGAGCACAACUAAGGAGCCUCUUUUGGGCUCUGCAAAUAAUAGGAGGCAUAAGAACUACUUCUGGGUUUGGUGGUGCUCAAGGGGAGGCCAAGGUAAUUGAGUGGCAAGGAUCCUUGCUGACAUUGUAGGGCUUCAUUAAAUAGGUGCACCCUGUCACCAGAUAUAUUGAUGGGAAUGAGAUUGGAUUUGGCAUAAUUAACUCGGUCAAGUUGCCGGAAAAAAAAUUCUAGUACAGAAAUUCCUAAGGAAUUCUGGUUCCAUAAACUUUUUCUUAGCUUCCUGGAAACAAAAGCAAAGCCUUUCAGUCCCAAAUAAUGGAGCAAUCACACUCCUAAAUAUUAUUGUAAAUAUGCAUCCAUUAACCACAGCAAUUCAGACCUCCAAUGUUCCAAUUUAAGAUAUUCCAAUGCUAUUUGGCCAUGGGCGGAAAGGAGGAGGUACUAAACCACCCAAAUCGUACGCUGGGGAUCAGGAAAAAACGUGCUGGAUCAAUAAAGUGGAGGCUUGAGAGACACCAAGCCAGCUCAAUGAUGGCAGGUAAGAAAAAGAGCAACAUAAAGGAAGCCAGGCCAUGAGAGAGUUCUUCAUGCCACUUAUUAUAUCACUGGGGAAUCCAGUACAAAGAUAAAAGGCCAUACACCAAAAACAAGAUUUGCUAGAGACUGGUAACAACAUAGUCUGAACUUGAUCAUGAGCUCUGCACUUUAUUACUUCUUGGAAAUCUUCUCAGCUGGUUAAUUAACAGCUUUUUAGGAGGCCUUCUACUACUUUGCUUGUAAUUCCAAAACUAAUAAUUCCAACUUUUUCCCUGCAUUUUAUCACUUCUUAGAUUUCUUCUUAGCUGAUUCAUCGACACCCUUCUUGGAGGCCUUCUUCUUGCUUGUUUGCGAAGCAGGCUUAUCUUCACCUUCAGUCUUUGACAUCCCAAAUCUGUUGCAAAGAUUCUGCAAUACCUUGCUCUUCAGGUGGGGUGCAUAUGAUGCAACACGAGCUAGAUAAUUUCUGUCAAAACAAGUUUUAGGUUUAUACCCCUGAACCAGAGCUUUGAUUCUGUCACUUGUUCUAACUUCUGAAAUCACAGGAGGGGUUUUUCCUUGUCUCCUUUGAAGGUGAAGUACAGAAGUGGUAUAGUGGGAUAUUUCUUCCACAGAAAGAUGCCUGGGAGCCUCUGGAGUAGAGAAGCUACAGCCGUGAGUUGCUUGACAGGUCAAGGAGAGGCUACAGCCCUGAGUUGCUGGGUUAUUUAGCUGAAUUGUUCGCUGAAAUAUGUAUCUUCUGGUGUACUUAUAUUGCAUAAUUCGGUUAUUACUAAAACAGGGACGUUAGUACUUGUACCCAGAUCCACUGAAGCAAGGGCCGAGUUUUGUACAAUGUAGUUUGGAAAUCAAAAUCCACUCCAAAGUUCAACAGUCAGUUGGAUUUCAGGAAGUACGUAGUAAAAAAAGCGUAUCUUCGAUUGUGUAUUUUACAGAAGGGCAAUAGUCCUACCUGAAUUUGCAAUCAACAGAUAAAAAUGUCGUGCCACGGUUAACGCAAUGGGUUAUCGGAGUCGGAUCAUCACCGCUGACUGCAAAAAGACAGACAUAAAGGCUAAAUGAACUCCAGAACUCCAUCAAGGGCUGACUCCACAGACCACAAGAUCCCCACUCUCAGUAACACGCUCGCUAGAAUGUGCUCCUAUGUUUUCUGAGAUUAUGCACGAAUUCUUAGUAACAUAGGACUUACAUGUGCGAUACUUAUGGCACGUCUAGAUGUGCUUUAGCAAAACUGAUUCUAUAUAUGGCAAAUUAGCAUCGACAAAAAGGUUCGACUUACAAUUGGCAAAGUCAAUGUCAACUACGAGUAGUAUAGCUUUAACUUUCCAGAUUUUAAACAAUCCAAAAGUACAGGUAGCAGGUGCUCGACAUCAGUUAGCAGCAUGCGAUGACCCAGACUGCAUGCUACUCGCUGCGACCACGUGAGAGCAGAGCGGCACGGCGUACAUACCAGGAUGUAGAGCAGAGAGGCGCAGACUACGGUGCGGUAACGGCCGAGCCAGGAAUCGGCGACGGCGGCCACGCCGAGCAGCGGCAGCAGGAGCGCGACGCCGCUCCACGCGUUGAUGGUCGCGGCGGCGGACGCCGUGGACUGCCCCAGCGGGCCGGUGAGGUAGGUGAUGAGGUUCCCUGAGAUGCCGGUGUAGGCGAACCGCUCCGAGAUCUCCACGCCUGCGAUACCGACGGCAAGCGGGUCAAAGAGGAUCGAGGCUUCGGGAGCACGGCCGAGUGCCUUGCUGUUGCUUCGCGGUACCGAUGAUGAAGAACGCGGCAGGCCAACUGCCGGAGGUGAGGCGGGAGACUGGGCGGCCGAGGUGGUCCACGGCGGCUGCCGGUUGGGGCAGCAGGGGAUCCGCCGUGGCGUCCAUGGACGUCCACCUGUUCCCCUCCUCUCCACGGACUGGGAUCAGAGCAUGUCACGCUGCAACAUGCGGCCUCCCGUCCGCCCUUCAAUCUUCAUCCAACGUCCCACAGCAAUCGAAGGCAAAAAAGAUAUUUCCAAACAAUAAAUUACACUGGUGAAAUGCAUCAGACUACUGUUUUCAGAGUUUGUUUAAUAGAAUCAUCAAACUACACAGGUGAAAUGCAUCAGACUACAAUGGUUGUUUUUCUGAACUGGUUCAGCCCAAGAAAAAUACCAAAUGACCUAUACUCUUUGUUUGUGCUAAAUGUAGUGUCAAAUGUGACAACAUCGUCAAAAUGUGCAUAGUCAAGUAGAAUUUUAGCAUCGAUCCAGAAAUAUGUUGGCUAUAUGCCCUCACUAUCCAACUGCAAAUGGUAUUUGAAUGCUGCAUUCUCAGCUUGCUUGUCACGAAAAUAAUUCAACAUACUUCCAGCAUGUCCAUAAGCCAACUCCCGCUGCCGCUUUCUUCGCAAAUGGUUCUUUUGGUCACGACACGUGUAACUAAGGUUGUUAGUACCACCAACUAGACGACAAGCAUACUCAUGUGAAGCUUUUGGCAUAAUUUCAGAAUCAUCGGCUGUUUCUAUCUCGAAAGCUUGCACUUGUGAAAUCUUCCUUUGUGAUGCUAACAAGUGGCGGGUUUGUGCCAAUUGAAGGCGGUGAUUGUGCUCCAAAACAACUUCGGUGACUUCAAAACUGUUGGCAACUCGAUCAUAUGUAACAAUCACAUGAGCCUUAUAAUUGGUUCUUGUUUUAGCUCUAAUACGCUUUGGGUCAUGAUCUGUUUGAUUUUUUUUCUCCGAUGGUCUUCAUUGGAACAAACAAACCAGCGUGUGAAGUAAUCACACCAUCACAUCUGCUUUUGAUUGUGGAUCUUUUCCUCACAUCAAAGCCGAUGUGACCCCAUAAUCUACCCAAAACUCCCAAGCCUCUUUCCGAAUCUCUGAACCUCAUACCUACUUUGGUUGUCCUUCCAAUUUCUGCCAUUGCACAACAUUCAAUUCUGCCAAACAAAAACAAAGUAUAUAAAUUAGUGCACUGCAAUCUCUGAACCCAAAUAAACCCAAACCAUGCUAACUCUGAACCCAAACUGCACAGGUAUAUAAAUUAGUGCAGGAAGAGGAGAGGCGACCUGGGAACCGAAUGUGGCGGUGAGGGUGGCGCUGGUUCCCGCGGUGACUCAAGGGGCGGCUCGGCGGAGCUGGUUCCCACGGCGACUCGGGCGGCGGCUUGGCGGAGCUGGUUCCCGCAGCGACUCGGGCGGCGGCUUGACGGAGCUGGUUCCCGCGGCGACUCGGGCGGCGACGACGCGACCCUGCGGGGGCUCAGCGAAGCUGGUUCCCGCGGUGACUGGGGCGGCGGCGAUGCGACCCUGUGGGGGCUCGGCGGAGCUGGUUCCCGCGGUGACUGGGGCGGCGGCGGCGCGACCCUGCGGGGGCUCGGUGAGCUGGUUCCCGCGGCGACCGGGGCGAUUUGGUCCAAGCCUCUUGGAUCGCUGUGGGACGUUGGAUGGAGAUUGAAGGGCGGAUGGGUGGUCGCAUGUUGCAGCGUGACAUGUUGUAGGCAUGUCACCUGAUCCCAGUCCCCUCUCCACUGGCCGAGGUCGUCGGUUGCUUUAACCUCUUUCUUUUUCUGGAAAACUGUUGACUACACUUUGGUACGAGGGCACACUGGGCGAAAUGAUAAUCUUUCCCCCAAUUUCCAUACAAAGACGCAAUAAUAAUACUAAGUGAUAUUUUUUAAUGCAAUAUAAAACAAAUACUUAUAUACACGCACAUACAUUCAUUCCUAAUCCCUAUGACUGCACUUACACACAUCCUACCCCUAUGUCUUCGAGACAAAGUGAGUAAAAACUAAAUUGAGGUGCUUGGACCAUCAAAUGAUCACUAUCGUCAUUGACGUUUGUUGUCGCUCCCCUAUUGGAGUCAGCCUAGCCUUACUGAUGAAAACUGAAAUGUCUUCAUGUACGUGUUCCUAAUGACUAGUGUCAUGUGGUCCUAGUCGUCAUCGUCGUUCACCGUCUAGCACCAGAUCUCGUCAUCACGUAUACAUGACGAAAUAUUCUAAACUUAUUGUUCAAGGAGAUGGCAUAAAUAUAUGUUGGGGCUCCAUUGACUUCGUGUAGACACACGAAUUCGAGGAGGAUCGGUGCCCCAAAGACCAACUUAAAGAAGAAGCGUCUCAUAUGUUCGAGCGUCAUCCUUGCGAGGACUAAAAAACUCUCAAACUACUAGCCAGAGUCGAGGCACCAGAAUCCCCCCGCCCCCAAUCGAGGCAUCGGUAGAGCCUUGAGGGGAAGAGUUUUCCCUAGAUGUGGCUUAUGAUGGGAAGGGAAGGAAGUUGGUUCUGCAAUGUAUGUUGCUUUAUUGAUUCCUUGAUUUUUAAUUGAACAACACUUUAAUAUUUUUAUAAAAGUAUUGAACUUUAUAUGGAUCUAGUAGAAAAAAUCAUUCAUACAGAGACUUCCAAAAUUUAAGGGCAUUUGCAUUGUGUUUUCUAGAGAGAGAAAAAUCAAACUACAUUAUCAAUUCUAAACAUUGUUUGAUAUUCAUGUUCUUAGGGGAAGUCUCGGGGCACACUUUAUUGAUUCUAAAUAUGGUUAAACCGUUUGCAAGAACAUAAGGGUAAAAUUUAGGGGGGGGGGGGGGCNNNNNNNNNNNNNNNNNNNNNNNNNNNNNNNNNNNNNNNNNNNNNNNNNNNNNNNNNNNNNNNNNNNNNNNNNNNNNNNNNNNNNNNNNNNNNNNNNNNNNNNNNNNNNNNNNNNNNNNNNNNNNNNNNNNNNNNNNNNNNNNNNNNNNNNNNNNNNNNNNNNNNNNNNNNNNNNNNNNNNNNNNNNNNNNNNNNNNNNNNNNNNNNNNNNNNNNGGGAGGGGGGGGGUGUCAGAUUGCGGGACAACUGAUAGCUCUCCGGCGGCAUGACUAGCGAAGGUGUCCACCACCAUAUUACUCUCACUAGGACUAAUCUCAAAGAUUACAUGAUCAAAACCCCGAGCUAAAAAGUAGAUUCCUCAUAGUAGUUGUUGCUAGACUUGUUGAGUUCCUCCCCGCAUGCAUCAUGCUAACGAUCUCUAUACAGGUCACGAUUAAUAAUGACUAUGUUGUAUCUCACCUGUCCCGCUAAGAUUAGACCAUUGCAAAGUGCAAGAGCUUCCGUAUUUGACGCAUCCCAACAAUUCAAGACCACAAGAACUUGCAGCUAUGGCCUCCUUAUCAUCAUAAAUUAUCGUUCUGGUAGCUCUUGUGCCCCUAUCCAAAAAGAACGCAAUAUCUAUAUUUAUCUUUACAUAGCCUUCUUGAGGUUUUUGCUAUCCAUGUCUAUCGGACCUCGCUCUCGGUGUGAGAGUUAAAUAGUACUCCAUUUGUUUUUAAAUAUAAGUCUUUUAANNNNNNNNNNNNNNNNNNNNNNNNNNNNNNNNNNNNNNNNNNNNNNNNNNNNNNNNNNNNNNNNNNNNNNNNNNNNNNNNNNNNNNNNNNNNNNNNNNNNNNNNNNNNNNNNNNNNNNNNNNNNNNNNNNNNNNNNNNNNNNNNNNNNNNNNNNNNNNNNNNNNNNNNNNNNNNNNNNNNUAAAUAUAAGUCUUUUAAAAAAAUUCAUUAGACGUCUACAUAUGAAGCAAAGUGAAUGAAUCAAUACUCUAAAGUAUGUCUAUAUGCAUCCAUAUGUAGUCCAUUAGUAAAACCUGUAGAAAGACUUAUAUUUAGAAACAAGGGGAAUAGUUCAUAGUCAAAGCCAAAAUCGUCCUUUUUUUUUUCCAAAGGUCGUUGAAUCAGUUCCUUGAAACAACUUGGCGUCACACCCACCAUAUAUACCAAACACGUUAUAACAAUAAGUUCAACCAAAUCCACAACAAUAAGAGCCGCUGUAGUACCUUAGCUUCCAGAGUGCACAAAAUCAACUAGUGUGUCAAUGAGAUUUCUAAGAUCCAACGCUUCCUAGAUUCCAUAGACUCUAGCACAUUGAAAGAAACAAUGAGGCCCCACUUGAAAUCCCAGUAAAAUUUUACAACCGUACAUUGAUUACCACUGUAUGUUACUGAAGAUCGGUAAAAUACAAUCCGAUAUUAAAGUGAGGUCUCGGGUGCGCUUGGUUCGUCUUAUUUCUCGUCCCCGUCCCUGUCCAGGCACUCGCCCGCGGGCGUCGGCGCUGGGACGAACAACGUCGUGCGCGCGUGCGCCGCGAGGACGGGGCAGCAGCGCCCGCGGUCGAGAGAGCCCGGACCGCCGCCGGCCGCAUGCCGCGGCCACGCCGCCGAAGGGCUCCGCGGAGAGGUCGAUGCGGCAGGGCGGGGAGGAGGGCGCCGCGGAGGAGUUGGACAGGGAUUGCGUCUGCGUGAGCGGGAACGAGGAGACGUCGGAGGCUCGGACGGGGGCGAGGAGUGCGAUGAGAACCACGACGGUCGCAAUGUAAGGAGGUGGCGGUGGCGGUGGGCAAGCGACAAGCAGAUAUCCGGCUCUGGGUACAUGAUACAGAGAAAAAACGAUGGGUGGAGGAGUGUUUCGAAAACAUGCGGAUUGCAAGCAGAUUAUAACUGUAAUGCAAAACCAGGUGUAAAGUUUACAAUGCAAAAACGUCAUUUCAAGUAGAUCCUCCGAUUUCGGUUAGAGAGGUUUUUUUUCCGUUUGUAAACUGCUGCAAAACGGCGAACCAAGCGCAGCCUGAAGGGUGUCCUGUACUCCCCGUUCCUAAAUCUUUGUAGAGGUUCCACUAAAGGACCACAUAUGAAUGUAUAUAAACAUAUUUUAUAGUGUAAAUUCAUUUAUUUUGUUUUGUAUAUAGACUAUUAGUGAAAUGUUUUAAAAGACUUAUAUUUAAGAAUGAAGGGAGUAAAUUACAGUGCUUGCACAUGCUACCGUUUUGGAUAUGCAUGUGGGCUAGUGCACUAUUUCAGCGAAUAGUGUCACGUAGUAACCUGCAAGCAUAAAUCUUACUUGCGUGGAGACUUUUAGAAACCAAACCAUUACCCAGAUGGAUUCAUCGCAAAAGUACCCUGACCACUUGUGCAAAUUAAUUCCGCUUCGCGUUGGCAAUCCCAUUCCGUAUAAUAAGCAGACCUCAUAAAAAAUAGACCCAUCAUUGUAUAAUUCUAAGCGGUAAAGUUCUCCAUGAGCUAGCGCGGUAUUGAAAAUUCUCGUUACAUCAAUGCUAUAAAAUAUACUCCGCACUAACACUUCGUCCCAACUCCUCAUUUU
This 52188-nucleotide long non-coding RNA is filed under the name Hordeum vulgare. Its description in RNAcentral is "long non-coding RNA (HVUL_LNC007810)". Lineage: Eukaryota; Viridiplantae; Streptophyta; Magnoliopsida; Poales; Poaceae. The record is from RNAcentral.